This 46737-nucleotide long non-coding RNA is filed under the name Vitis vinifera (wine grape). Its description in RNAcentral is "long non-coding RNA (VVIN_LNC004091)". Lineage: Eukaryota; Viridiplantae; Streptophyta; Magnoliopsida; Vitales; Vitaceae. The record is from RNAcentral.
UUUUUUUUUUUUUUUGUGUGGUUGGAUGGUAACAUUUGUAACCCUUUUUUUAUUGAUGAAUAGCCUAAAAAAAUGCAAUGAAUUGCUCAAGGGUCAAGUUUCCCUCUUAAAUGGCUAUGAACAUGGACAUAGGAUAGCCAGUCGAAUAUCUUUGGAGGGGAUUUACCAAGUCCUUGAAAAUUAGGAAACAAAGAGUGAAGUUUUUCUAUAGGGGAUUUGAAAUCAAGGACCCUAGUAGGUAUCCUAUUUAUUAAGUAACUGGCUAUCAAAAGGGCUUCAUGUUUUUGGAACAGUCAUUUCAAAAAGUAAAGUACUAGCAACUUCUAUUAAGUGCUUAUUUUUCCUUUCGACAAUCCCAUUUUGUUGGGAUGUGUCAACUUAUGAUGAGUGGUGAACUAUACCCUCAUUUUGAAGAUAAUCAAUCAGCGUUUGGUUGAAAUACUCCUUCCUAUUAUCACCGAUUUUUCGGCGAUUUUUUCGGUGCCCUUAAAGCCAAAAUCCAUUAUCAUUGGAUGUGGACCUCACACCUCGGCCCAACCCUCAUAAAGCUACGAUGUGAUACCAACCAUCAUCUUAUUAAAUAUUAGUCUAGUUUCUUCGUGGUUUCCGAUGUGGGAAAAACAACAUGAGUAUCAGAGUAUGCAUGGGUAGGGGUUGAACUUGGGUUCUUGGGGCUUUGGAUGAAUUGCUCCAACUAGUUGGACAAAUCUAGUUUAAUGUUAGAAUUGCACAUGGAAUAAUAUAUAUAUUAUAAAUUUCUUUUAUAAAUCUUAUAAAUAUAUUUUAUAUAUUAUGUAUUAUAAAUUCAUUAAAAUAAAAUUAUUGAAAAUAAGUUAAUUUUAAUUAUCUUGUUAUGCCUUUUGUAUAAUAAUUAAAUACAAGAAAAAUAUAAAUUUAUAAAUAAAAUUAUUAGUAUUUUAAAAUAAAAAAUACACGUAUCAUCAUUUCUUCUAUAUCAUUGAAUACAUUCAAAUUAAAAGGAUGUGUAUAAAAUAUGGUUUCAUGUUGUGAAAGUUAUUGUUGAAUAUUACAAAUUAUAUCAUACAUAAAUAAACUUCUUCAACAAAACAACCUCAAUACGUCUAUCAUUUCUUAGAACUUUUCCUAAUAUUUUCAUGAAUUUUGAUCAAUUUUUGUCUUAUCGAUAUUAUGUAUCCAAAUUUCCACCAAUAUUUCUCAAUAUAUCUUGAUAUAUCUGUAAAAUCAAAUGACUAAUAUAUCUAUAAAAACCGAUAUUUUCAUCCUUGUUCUAAACUAAAAGUGAGCAUAGGAAUACCAAUCAAUUUCUCCUCUACAUCACAUACAGGUUGAAGGAAACAAAUUUUGAUGGAUCCUUCUAUUCCACUAUGACUUCCACAUUGCUCCUCAUUUUCUUGCAAUUCCCUUUCUAGUAGACUAAAAAAAAAUGGGGUAGACCAUUGGAUGAAAUGACUCCUCACCAGUCAACAUCCAACUGUAUGUGGUAAAAAGAGUAAAUGGUAUCUCAGGGUUUUAGGCUUUUCAAAAAUCAAUUAGGCCAUCUCUUUUUAUGGUGAAGAUGUUCGACUUUUUGAAAAAAAUAACUGGGAGGUUUUAUUUUCUGUUUUAUUUUUUAUUUUUUAAUUUGAUGCAGGAGAAUUAGUUCUUAAAACAUUCCUCCAGGUUUGAUAUAUAUAGGAAGGAAUAAAAGGGUCUAGGUCUCUAAAGAAGAAGACUCUGAAUCAAAAUAGUACACUGCCUAAAGAGAAAAGAAAUACAUGAUCAAUCAAAAGUGCCCCUUGAUUGAUUGAGAUGCCAAGUUCCUUUUGAAUCAAUUUGAGAAAGUGCUUUGAUUGAUCGAAGUGUAAAUAACACUCUUGACCUAUUGGACCACUCUGUAGAUUGACUGAAAGCCAAAAUUUCUUUUCCUUAACCCUGAUUGUUACAAAACAUCUUUUAAUGUACAAGGAUAGUUGUACAUUUGCCAAUGCAAAAACAAGGUUUCUGGACUCUCUCACUCAUCCAAGGGUGCUCAAAGAAGGGUUUGCAUACAGGCCUUGAUGGAUUCUUCCAUUGCAAUCUCUUCAAGCAUAAAGUGGAUGGUUUGUAUGUUUUGUAAAUAAUUAGACUCAAGUUACAAUUCGAUGUGGAGACAAAAGAAUCCUAAAAUUGUCAAUUAUUUUGAAAGAAAUUCACUGGAUCAUAGAGUCUAGGAAUGUUUAAAGGAAAAUUCCUUGUCUAGGGCUUUGUAUUCUCCAUGACUAUAAAGUGUCUAUAACUUAUGUUUAUCAACAGUUUAUUAGGAGACAUAUUCAGUUAAUCAAUGAAAAUAGAGAAAGAAAUAAUAUGAAUGGGUGGAAGGACAUAUUAGAAGCAAGAGCAUAGGUUCCAAUGUUAUUUAAUUACUGCUUAAUGUUCAGUAUUUUUUUGUAACCCCUGAUCUAAAUUCUGAAUUGCCUUAAGCAGUGUUUCAAUUUUUUUUUUUUUCAAAGCUUAUUUAUUGCAGAAGGCAAUGCAUAAUGAAAUCAAACCACAUUCACAUUUCAUUGAUAAAGUCAUUUUUGCCUCUCUGUAAAUUUCCAUAAUUCUUUUGAGUGUUGAAGGUUAAUCUCUGCUUCUGGAUUAAUAUCAUUUUGCCAUUUAACUAUAGAAGUAGUCUAUUUUUGUUCAUCAUGAAUCUUGAAAUAUAUUAGCAGAAGCACUAAUGCUGUGUUUUGGAUCUUAGUAGCAGUACCAGCUUGAAAAUUCUACAUGUCAGCAAGUACUUGCAGAUACCACUCAGAUGUAUGAGAAGAAAAUAGCAGAGUUGAUUAAGCAACUAGGAGAUGAGCGUGCUCGCUAUGAAACUGCUGGAGAACAAUUAGAUGUGAUCAAGAAACUCCUAAGUGAGAGCCAGCAGAAAAUUCAGGUUAGACAUUUAAUCAUCUCAAAGAUAGAUGUUUAUGUUGUCUGUUCUAUCUCCACCACUGAAUCCCAAUUAUUACUUUUCUAUGUUUUGUCUUUUGAGGUAGAUUUUCUUAUCCUUUGUGGGAAAUUUUUUUAAGAUUUUGCUUCUUUGUUAGAAGCAAAACCUAUCAAAUGUAGUGUUUCUAAGGUCCUACUUUGCUUCAUCAUUCUGUAUGUCAUGGAUCUUGAACCAUGCUUUGAGUAGUAGAUUAGUUUUUCCUGCCACAAGUUUUAACUAAAACUAUUGCAAUCCUUAAUGCUAUUAUAUUAUUCUUGGUAGCAACAAAAAACAGAAAAUUCUACGUAUCAGAAGGCACUUGCAGACACUACUCAAAUGUAUGAGAAGAAAAUAGCAGAGCUAACUAAGCAACUAGAGGAUGAGCAUGCCCGUUUUGAAGGUGCAGAAAAACAAUUGGAUGAAGCAAAGAACCUCCUAAGUUGUCAUCAAAAGCCAAUGCAGGUAUGCCUAAAAUUUAAGUGGAAUGUAGUAUGCCUUGCAUGGUUACCUCUCCCACUACUACUGCUCCUGCUACUGCUACUAAAUUGUAUUUUAUAUAGAUUUGUUUCAUACGUGGGGGUUUGGAAGAGAUGGUGGAGCCUCUCCUUCUUUGUAGGUUGUGGUUUCCUUAUGCUGUCUUUUAUUUAUUGUUGAUUUGGGGUUUGUUAGAUGUUUACUUUAUUGUUUUUGUCUAUCCAGUUGAGGUUUUUGGUUUGUGGGACAUUGGGAGUAUCCCAUUGAAACUGAAUGAGUACAUUGUGUCAUUUGUAGAGCUGAGGAGAGAUGAUGGAUCAUCUCCUUAUUCAUUGUAGAUUUGCAGUUUCUACAUGGUGUCUUUUGUUUAUUCUUGUUUUGAGUUUCUCAGUUGUUUCCAGCCUCCUUUUGGGGUCUUCUUAGUUAGGGAUGUGAAACCUUUGGGCUUAGGGAUUAAAGUUAAUAUGGUACCUAGUUUCUUUAGGAGUUGCUUGGAGUACUUAAAAUAAAAGGAAAAUGAGAUUCUUUAAGGGUGUGGAGACAGAUAAAUGUCUAGUUGCUAUUAAACUGAGCUCCACUCUUUGGUUGGGUCCUUUUAUUGAAUAAUGUUAGAAAGAUUGGCCAAUCCAUGAAGCAAACUGAUUAUGGGAAUCAUAGGGAUGUCCUUGUGUUUUGUAAGGAUGUAUGGACAUAUAUUUCUGUUGUUGCUAGUAAAAGAAUGAGCUCUGCUCUCUGAUUGGGCCCUUCUUAUAAUGGAUGAUUUCAUAGAGAUUAGUAGAAGCAGCAUGCACUAGAUUGGGAGGGAAUAGUUUUCAAUCUGGAUGUCCUUGUAUGCUGGUCUCUGUUUUUUGAUUUUGUCCUCAAGCCCUUUUUCCUUCUUUGGGAGGAAAGGAUGCCUCGCUCCCUUCUUCUCCCUUGCCUUUUUUCUUAAUAAAUUAUUAUCUAUCACCAGCAAGAAAAAUGUUGAAAAACAAUGGAGUGAUUAAAUUCUGACUAGACGUCCUAAAUUAAGAUGGUGGGCUUGCUAGUAAUGUACAAACAUAAUAAUGUUGUUGGAAUGCCAAAGAAUUAUCAGAAGAAUGCAUUUCUCACUUUUGACCUAGUACUUUUCUUGUUCUAAUUAUUAAGGCUAUUGAAAGUAGGCUAUGCAUUUUGGCAUUGUAUUUGCUCUUAACCUCUUGGUCAUAAUUCUUAUCAUAGUGCAUCCAAAUAUUAUUACUUUAUUAGGAGACAGAUAGAUGUAUACACAGAAGUAUUUACCAUCCUUUAGUGAAGUAGUUAAUGACUUGUGGAACAGGGGCGCUCGUCAUAUGAGAUACACCAAGCACAUGAAUGGCAGGAAACUUAAGUUUAUUUGAGGUAGCCCUAUUGGCACCUAUUAUCCAUUCCAAACACUGGAACCCUUGCCAAUGUUACAUGGGAUUACCAUUCUAGUUUCCCUUGAGCUGGAAAUAUCACUCAAAGUGCCUGGAUUUUCUUGUAUGGUUUUAUUGCUGCUGAUUCUUUCUUUUUCUUGUACAGUUUCCCUUUAUUCUUUCAUUCUUUCUUUGGCCAUAUUUUUAUAAUUACCAUAAUAAUAAGAAUAAAUUAUCGGACUCUGGAGCAGGAUGAGAUUGAUGAACUUAAGAUGAGGUUGCAUGAAAUGGGUCGGCAUCAGGAGCUUAGUGUUAAUGAGCUUCAAUCCUUGCAAUCUGAGUAUAAUGAUCUACUGUCUGAGAAGGUAUGCUUGAUAUAAUAAAUUACAUGAGCAUGCUUAAAAUUUUCCUUAUUGGAUGUAUAAAUUUUUAUUCAUAGCAUUCUUAUGUAACAACUCCCUUCUAAUGGAUGGGCUUUCUUCUUAGGUUGAAAACUGUAAUUACUAAUGAUAUUAUGUAUCUAUUAAAAAUUUGGAAAUUUUCAGGCAACGUUAACUGAGGAACUCCAUGCUGUUAAUCAAACACUUUCAGUUGAAGAAAAGCAAAGGAAGACUAUUGAAAAUGAGUUGGUCAAACUUAAGAAGCUUGUGCUGGAAAAUGACCAUGACUUUGAAGUAAGUUUCAUUGUACAAUUCAAUAUAGCAUAUAUUAUAUAUGCUUUGAUAUCUUACCAUUAUUUUGGACAGGACAAGAAAUCAUAUGUGAAGGAAAGCAUAGGUAAAGAAUCAUCAGCUUUUGGGGCCCCAGUGGGUUUACAUAAGUCAAAUCCAUCAAGGGAAACAAUAUCCGGCCAAAGGGCCACUAUUGCAAAGAUAUGUGAAGAAGGCAAGAUUUUCUUAGUACUAAAGCACUAUAAACUUUGACAGUUUUCUUAGUUGCUGAUUUUGCAUCUUGGGAUAUCUUGAUUUACAAAUUGUUUGGCUUUAUACAUCCAGUUGGCCUUCAAAAGAUAUUAGCAUUGUUAACAUCUGAAGAUUUAGAUGUCCAAAUCCAUGCUGUAAAGGUGGUAGCCAAUCUUGCUGCUGAAGGUACAAAAGACAUUUUAGAUAAUGUACGCACACAAGCAUGCACAGAUAGAUUGAUGCCUCUCUAAAACAUUCUUCUAGUGGGUUCUCAUGCUUUUAAUUUGUCUAAGGCAUUUACAAUCAUUUUCCUGCUUCCUUUGAAUUUCAAGUUUCAGUUUUGUGAGGGUGGACCUUUUCCCUGUUAAUCAUCCUUUUAUUGGGCAGUUUUAGAAGACUGGCAUACUAAUGCAAUAUUUCUAAUUGGAGAAGGCCUCAGAUACAUGUUUAGUAAUUUGUUUUGCUCUUCAGUCCAUAACAUAUAAUCUAUUAAUCUGUUUGAAUUGUGUAGUAUAAGAAACAAAAAUAGAAAAAAACUUGAUGGGCAUUAAAAUAAGAUAGAAGUAUUUAUAGUUACAGAUUAUGGACAUUUUUAAUCAAAUCAUAUUUGAAUUCUUGCUCCAGAUAUUUUUGAGCAUUUUUAAUGAAAUCAUAUUUGAAUUCUUACUCCAGAUAUUUUUGUCAGGGUUUAAGAAGGGUAAAUUUGUUUCAUGCUGUUUAGAUUUAAGUUUGAUCUGGUCAAAUGUGAAUUAAAUUUUCAAAUUUUGUUCAAGUAUUUGUUCUAGUCCUCCAUUAAAAGAAAAUGAAAAAUAAAUAAAUUUCUUUUAUGUUUUAAAAAUAAAUUGUUCAAACAUUCGACCAUUCAUAUUGAAAUAUCAAAAGUCACUAAAACACUUAAAGAAAUUUCGUUGAAGUUACCCAUGUUGAAUUACCAAUGUUCCUAAGAGCUUAAGCUGUUAGGAUUUAGGGCCACAAUGUAUAUCAUGCUUUAUAAAUCCACACAUGCACACACAUAUAUAGAUUGCCUCAAAAAUAGCUUUUUGUUUUAAGAAAAUAUCUUUCUCCAUCUAAAUUGAAGAUUAUCCAUGAACCUGUACUACUCAGUUCAGUAAAUAGCAUAAAUAGUAUUUUAGGUGUGCAAAGCUUUUUAUUUUAUUUUAUUUUUCGUCCAAUUUCAGAUAUUAAUCAGGAAAAGAUUGUGGAGGAAGGGGGUUUAGAUGCUCUUUUGUUGCUGUUGCGAUCAUCAAAAAGUACAACUAUUCUUAGAGUCGCUUCUGGGGCAAUUGCUAAUUUGGCAAUGAAUGGUACUCCUGAAUCUUCAUUUUUUCCUGGUUUAUUGCACUUCAUGAAUCUUGCUUAUGAAUGUGUAAUCAAUGAAUAUUGCCAUCCUUCUUUUUCUAGGUGUUUUUUUUUCUCCUUCCUUUUGAUCAUUUAGAAAUGGCAAUGCAAAAAUGAAAUUGCAUACCUAAAUAACAAAACUUAGUAUAAUGUUUGCUAACCUAUUUUUUGCCAUGACUUUUUAGGUCCAUGGCUGAAAAUUUUCAGGCACAGAAAAUACAUUUUGAAUAUGUGUAUUUUAUGAAGCAAACUAUAUUGGUGUUUUAUCUUAAGUAUUUCUCUGAACAAAAUAUGUUUAGUUUUAGUCUUCCUCUAGAGUUGAGUAUCUAAUAAACUUCUUUUUGCUGAACUUCUAGAGAUCCAGUACUUCUUGACUUCCACGGUGAGGAAAGGUUUGCUUAAAUAACAAAAGGCCAGAUUUUUUUACUUGUAUACUUGGAAUCUUGUGUGUAUAUAUAUAUCAAAGAACGAAAGAAAUCUUGCAAUUUGAUUUUAAUUUUUAGAAUCAAAUAGAAUCUUGCAAUUUGGAAAUUAUAACAGGCUUCUAACCAUAUAAGACACUGGACUAAGGCAAGAAAAUUGUAGAAUUUCAAGACUAGAUGGAGGUAGCAACAGUAUUUGAAUUUUGAGUGGAAUUCCAGGAAUUGUCUAGGGAGAAAACCUUGAUAGGAAAAAGAUGCACAAUGGGGAGGGCGUGUUACUUUUCACAAGUUAUGCGUUCAAUAUUUCAAGAAAAAUCAUGUCCCAGAUUAUGUGUAUUUUCUAAUAAUGAGCCAUCCAAUUGUUGAUACCUCCUCUACUUCUUGCUGUGUCUGUUUACGAUAUUGUAAAUUGGUUAUCUGCAAGUGAAAUAUGAAUAGUGAUGCUUAAAAGUUGUUUAAGGAUCAUUUUAUUAUUAUUUUUUUGUUUGGUGGUUGCUAUAAAGGCUCCUAACCCUGAUGAAAGUAGCUGAGAAACUUUACCAACAGGUGAACUGGUACCCUUUUUUUUUUUUGGCUUGCAUAAGAAUCUGUGAUGAGUGGUCUCCUUUUCGAAAUGGUGCUUUACCACCAACUGCUCUCUCCCAUCACAGUGUAGUGAACUCUUCUAAUCAGAUUUAUCAGACAAAUGAAUAUUUAUGUGUCCAUUUCCCAAGUUAGACAUGAUUGUAUUAAUGUUUCUCCCUAUCAUGAUGCUUUAAAUUUAUUCUUGGGGCAAAUAUGUAUAAAAAAGUAGAGUAAAUUUUGACCCAAAAACUUACUAUGAUGGUACAAUUGUCAUCAGACCAAGCUUGCUACUAAUCUAAAAUGCUCUCUUCUUCACUUGCAAAAAUGGAGGUGCAAACUGAUAACAUCUAAGAAACUCUUAAUACCAUUUCAGAAACUUACUGUAUCAUCUUCUAUCUUCUCAGAGUUGAAUCAAGGGUUAAUAAUCAGCAAAGGAGGUGGUCAGCUACUAGCAAACAUGGCUUCCAAAACAGAUGAUCCACAAACUCUUAGAAUGGUAGCUGGUGCAAUUGCUAAUUUAUGUGGAAAUGGUAAGCUAAAAGUAUUUUAACAGUUACUUUUUCAGCCAUAUUCACAGCUCACAUAAUCAUUGUCUGCACGGAUUGCAUAUCUACAAAUGAUAUUAAAUUUUAUAUUUAUCUUAUCUCACCUUAAAUGACAACGCCGUCAAACCAAUGAAGUACAGUGUUACCGGUGCUUCAUGAGCACUAGAGAAACUGCUUUGAAUGGGAGAGAUUCUUCUAUAUUAAAGCAAGUUCUUUUUUCAUUUUAACAGAGAAGUUGCACAUGAUGCUGAAGGAAGAGGGAGGCAUCAAGGCACUUCUGGGAAUGGUUAGAUCUGGAAAUAGUGAUGUUAUUGCACAGGUUGCUAGGGGAGUGGCUAACUUUGCAAAAUGUGAAUCUCGUGGAAUCAUUCAAGGUCUGUGGUUGUUAUCUUUCAUAGACUAGGUGACUAUCAUUCAUCUUUGCUAAUCAUGAAUGUGAAUAAUUUUACUUAAUGCAGGACAUAGAAAAGGUCGAUCACUUCUUGUUGAAGAUGGUGCACUUACAUGGUUGAUUUCCAAUUGUAAUACUGCUUCAGCUUCAACUCGACGUCAUAUGGAGCUUGCUCUUUGCCACUUGGCACAAAAUGGUAACUUCACAGUUUAGAAAGGACCUGGGAUUCAUUCAACAUUGCGUAAUUUGGAAAUUGAAAAUCAAUCAGUAAAGAAGUUGGACUACCUGUUCCAAAAGGAUAAAUAACCUCUGCAUCUCAAAAUUUGUAGAUAUAAUCUCAAAUGGACAUAAAUGCUCCUUUGUUCCUUCUUCGUUGUGAGAUAGACAUAAAAACGAUUGAUGGAGGACCUUUUGUUAAAAAAGAUCAUUUUCCAUGUUUCCAAAAUGUGGAGGUUAUUUUUCCCAAUUGGUGAUUAUCUUAUCCAUUUGCAUCAAAUAACCCAAAAAAUUUUGGGUUCAUGCACUGUGAAUCUUUUUCUUUUUUAUAAAUCAUAUAGAACAUGCUAUUUUCAGUCACAUUGUGGAUUCCAAACAUGGUGCAGUUUCUUCUGGUCGGAGUCCAUACUUUGCAUUUGGUGUAUUUCAAACCCAUCAUCAAUUCUUCUUUGACAAACACUGCACACAAAUACAAUGCAUUAAAACAAUUCCUUGAGAAAACAUUCAAUCUACUGCUGCCAAUUCUAUUUUGAUUUCCCUUAAACUUCCCUCCAGCAUUUUCCCUAUGAUCUGAAAGAUAGGGGUUUCCUGGAGACCACUUCCAGAUCCUCGAAAGUAAAAUCCUGAUAGCACAACAAGUUCUUCAUUGCUAACACUAUGUUUUCCUGGUUGUUGCAGAGAACAAUGCCCAGGAUUUCAAAUCCAGUGGAGGUGUGAGGGAACUUAAACGAAUAGCAGCUGAGUCCACCAGAGAAGAUAUUCAAAACUUAGCAAAGAAGACACUGAAAUCGACUCCAUUUCAAGCUGAGAUUCAUGCAGAAUUAUAGUAAGACGUAUAGAACCACAGCACAGCAAAUCUUUUUAUACGAGUUAUCUCACUCUUAUUAAGGGAAGCUGGAUUUUUUGGAUUGGCACUAAUACAUUUGCAUGAAUGCCUUGUGGUUGGAUUGAUUUAUGCAUGUACAUAGAAUACUGCAAGAGUAAAAUUUAAUUAUUACAGGAAUUCCUAAAUUGAAGCUCAGAUCCAAUGCCAUACUGUUAGAAUAUAUAUGUAUAAAUUUGUCACUGUAAAUGGGAUGUAGUCCUCUGGAGACUGUUGGUCAUGCUCUUCCAUGUUGGCCUUCUUUUGGAAUAGUUUACAUACUCUCCUUUUGUCUCAGUAUCUGAGGACCUCAUUACUCAUCAGAUAACAGUGUCCAUUCUCAUAUGGUAAAUGUUCACAUCAACAUUGGUCCAAUAGAGAAUGAGAAUGGGGAUGGGAAUAGGAAAAGAGAAUGGAAAUGGAAAAUCGAUUCCAUUCAUUCAUAAUGUAUUUGGAUUAUAUCUUUUUGUCAUAAGAAGAAAAAGACUCGUGUUUGUAUAAAUAUUAUUAUGCGACUCAACAAAUAUGAACUUGUAAGAGAUGUUUUCAAAAUUGUUUUCGAAAAAAUGGAAAAAUAAAUUAAAAACUUUUUAAAAAUAAAAACAUUAUUUUAACAUCAAGGCUUUUGGAACUUCUUCGUAUGGAUUUGUUUGGGCCUUCUAAGGCUUUCAAUAUUUUUGAAAUUUUUGAUUCUUGCUUUUUUAAAAUUUUGUAACAUGGUCCAAAUUGAAAGAGCUUUACUAUGACACCUCCUCACCGUUGUGCUGUCAUCCGCGGGAACGUCUUCUGCGGUUUCCAUAGGACGUUAAAACUGCGAAAGUGUUGCUUAUACAUUUUUGACAAAAGUCUUAACUCUGACCAUUUCAUCAACACUCUCAGCUUUCACUCUCAAAUCUCUAAAUCUAAGCCCAUAAACCCUACUACCCCAUUCAAUUUCCCAUCCAGAUUUCAUAUUACAUUUCAUGUAGUGGAGCUGUUUCUCAAUUCGGAUUAACAAGAAUAAUAAAAAUGUCAUCCAUACAUCAAAGGCAGCAAUUGCAGCAGCAGCAUCAGCAGCAUCUUCUCUCGGACUCCUACCCAAUUUCGGCCCGCAGCUCGCCAAAUUGGGGAAGAUCUAUCUCCGUUUUCGGCCGAACAGGGCUCUUGGUGCUCUUGACGUUGGUGGUAGUAUUGGGUGUUGUGCUGCCAGGAAUGAGAGCGCCUGAUGGCCUGUUUGGUGGAUCCAAAGUUUCGGUUUCCAAAUGGCGAGAGUACACAUUGGAAGAGGCUGUCCCCUUUGCGGCCAAGAACGGGACUUUGAUCGUUUGUGCAGUGAGUCAGCCUUAUUUGCCGUUUCUCAAUAAUUGGUUGAUUAGCAUUUCCAGGCAAAAGCAUCAGGACAAGGUGCUGGUGAUUGCUGAGGACUAUGCCACGCUUUAUGCUGUGAAUGACAGGUGGCCUGGCCAUGCUGUUCUUGUUCCGCCUGCCCCAGAUGCUCAAGUUGCCCAUAAGUUCGGUUCUCAGGUAUAUAGCAUUUGGCUUUGAUUACCGACUUUUCUCACGCCCCAAACAAAUGCCCAAUUCAGGUGAAAGAUCAGCCAAUCUAUUAGCCUCCAUGUAAGCAAGAUCACAGUGAAAACCCUCAAACCAUAGAGGUUAAGCCUUGUGAUUGUGAUGCUUUCCUUCUUUGUUGCAAUCUAUUUCGGUGGUUUAAGGAUCUUGGUGGUGAAGUUAGGAACUAACAGAGAAAUUUUUCCUGACUACCAUUCAAUUUUGUGGUCAUUGAAGAUCGGUACCAAGACCUCACAGGCAGUAGGAGGGUUGUUUCCCUCUUUUUAGUGAUAUGGAUUUCUGGCGUCACUUCCAUUACUGGUCAUGUGUUUUGGUUCAAAGUUUUGCAUGCUCUAUGUGUGGAGGCCCUUAUACAUGAUACCUGGGUUAGGCUUUUUUAUAUUUUAUUAGUUUGAGUUAGUAGCAAAAUCAGUACCAGAAAACCAACCUAGAAAGUAGAAGGGUUACUUCCCUUUGUAUAGUAGCAUAUAUAUUUCUGGUAUUUGUAUAUAUGAUAGGUGGGUUGGCUUCUAUUCUUCGUUGGUUAUUGGUAUUUGUACCAAUCCAAAUGAUCAUGAAUUUGAGGAAAUUCCCAUUGGAUGCAUGCUACUUCGUUGGGUGAGUUAGCCAGGAUGCUGCCAAGAUGUCCAUGGGUUUGGUUUCUAACUCACUUUAUAAUCUUUAACACCAGCUUUUGAAUUCAACACUUCCCCCUUUUUUUUCUUUUUUCUUUUUUCUUUUUUAUUUCAUUUUUUCCAUUUGAGGUGACAUCUGUCCUUCCCUACAACUCGUGAAUUGAGAAUUAUCACAAUAACAACCUUCAUUAAAGAACCCAUCUUUUCAUUUCAUGUGCUGUGCAUGUUUUUUUCUCAGCCUCUACAUAAAUGAGGGAACUAGAGAUGUAUAUUUUGAGCUAUAUUUUUAUCUGUCUGUACAUAAAUGAGGGAACUAGAGGUGUGUAUUUUGAGCUCAAUUCUGGUUUAAAAAAUGGCAUUCUCAAUGUUUGUAGGGUAUAUUUGCUCCUGUAAUUUUUUUUUUUCUAUCUGAAGUUCCAUGGUAGAAUGGAUUUAUGCUAUACACUGUCUUUCUCAUUUUCAUUUCUUGCUGAUAUUGAUCAAUCAUCAAUGUGGGAUUAGUUUUUGAAGUUUGAUUGCUUGAUUUCAUUAUACAGGGUUUCUUUAAUUUUACUUCUCGAAGGCCUCGCCACCUACUGUACAUUUUGGAGCUUGGAUACAAUGUUAUGUAUAAUGAUGUUGACAUGGUAUGGUUGGCUGAUCCAUUUCCUUAUUUGCAAGGAGAUCAUGAUGUGUACUUCACUGAUGACAUGACUGCAGUACGUACACCAACUUUGCUUUUAACUUUUCGUGUGGUCUCUUUUAUGUUGUAAAUUUAUGCCACCUAUGGAGAAUGGAACAGACAGUCAUUCAUGUGUGCUGCCAUUUAUUAUCCAAUAUCAACUCUAAAAUCCAAUUUAGCAUAUACUGGAAAUGUCUACUUUUCUUUUCCAUUAUUAGAGGAAUUUUAUGCCUGUGCUAUCAUUGGCAGGGCCAAUGUUUUUGAUGUUAAGAGGACAAAUAUCAAUCUGCUAGGAUACUAGUUGAGUUCAAUGUGAUACAAAGUCAACUUCCUCUAUUGAAAACAUCAGAACACUACAUCAUGAAAAUACCAAGUCUGAACCCAUCCUACUUGAGUACCACAUUGAACUCCCAAACUCUUGCUUUUGAGGUCCUCCAGGCAUCCCUCAUAGAUCAAUUGAGAGACAACUCAUUAGUAUUCAAAAUGACCCUUGAAAACCAAGAACUGUCCAUACAAGUGGAAUUUAGAUACUGUAUCAUGAAUUUGAGUACAGUCGGCAUAACUGGAGAAGAUUUUUCAAUAAUUGUGCUACAAUUUGUAGCUUCCAUAUGUACCCUGACUAAAUUUCCUGUAGGUCUUGCUAGCGAUCAGAUUAAGACAAUUUUACAUGCCCCUGAUAUCUUGCUCUAACAACUGUGCAAUGUAUCCUAUAUCUUGAAGGUGCAUAUUCUUAUCAUCCAUAAAGUGUGCAAUUUUGGUUGCUUUAUCCAUUUCUUUUGUUCUUUUUGGGUGGCCAGGUGAAACCUUUGAACCACUCUCAUGAUUUGCCACCUCCAGGGAAAAAGGGCCGCACCUAUAUAUGCAGCUGCAUGAUUUUCAUGCGCCCCACUGAUGGAGCAAAACUGGUUAUGAAAGACUGGAUUGAGGAACUUCAAGCUCAGCCAUGGUCCAAUGCGAAGAAAUCAAAUGAUCAGCCUGCCUUUAACUGGGCACUAAACAGAACUGCAGCACAGGUAUGUUCUGUGCACCUUCCUGUUACUGCCUUUCUUGCAUUUUUAUGAACCAUUAAAUCAUUAUAUAUUGGAAGUUCAUGCAUUUUUAUGCAAUUGUUGAAGUUAAAAUGUUGAAAAGGCAUGGGAGGGUUUGAUUUUAUUAAAGUGGUGUAUUAAAAGGUGACUUCAAGGCUUGGAACUCAAGGCUCGCCUUCCUAAGAAUGGAGGAUCAGAGAAAUGCCUUGGGGCUCAACGCCUACUCUUGCACCUCAAAUAUGUUUGUCUCAUACAUUAGCCUGUUGUGUAUAUGCCCGCAUGCCUGAUGCAUUAACCAGAAAAUAGGUUCUACUCAACAAGGAUUAAAAGAAUAAUUAUUCUUUAACACUUAUCAUUUACGUGUGUAAUGUAUUUAUCUGUUUAUAUAUUUUGAAAGCUCCAUUUUACAUUAAAUAUUUCCUCUUGCUUUUAAAGUUGGUCUUUCAUGAUUCCUUUGCAUAUUGUCCCCCCCCCCCCCCUGAUUUUUCUGUUGAUGGUUGAAUUGCUUGUAUACUACAGAGCUGUUUUAAAUGAUUGUUUAAUUUUUCAUAAUUAAUUUAUUAUUUUGUUUAAAUAAUGAGGGAUUAUGAGACUUAACCUCGCCUUAUAGCAUAUGCCUCCCUCCCUUGGACUUUCAAUUGAUGGUUGUUUGCAUUUACACUAUAUGAAUCUCCAAAAUUAUUGUUGGCCUUAAUCAAUUAAUUAAUCAUCUUAAAUAAUGAGGAAUUAUGAGGCACAACCUCAUCCCUAGAGGAAGUCUUUGAUUAGGAGGCUGAAAUACUAGUUUGAUAGAUAUACCUCUGUUGAAUAGGGCCCAAUUUAGCUUGAAUAAACCAGUACUCAUGUUUAUUUGUAUGGUUUCAGUUAAUAGAACAGGAUUGUGAUGCUUAGUUUGUGUAUGCUAUGCAGUGGAAACUUCAUUGUUGUUCUUUGGUACUGUUAGCCAAGUAGCGUGUUAAGACAUGUUUUCCUUUUUUCAUGCCAAGCACAACUGGAAUAGAAGAGUGGUGACUCAAGGAUACAUGUACUCAAUUUUUUUCCUUCUAUCAUCUUUUAUUAUCUUUGUAGUUUGUCUUCUCAAGGUAUCACCCUCAAAUCCCUUAAGCUGUUCACUUUUGCCACAGACUGGGAAUCUCUAUCAUCUGUCCUCCAAAAUAUUAGAUUUUUAGAAAUUUAUCAUUCCACUUCACUUUCCAAAUGUCAAUUCUUUAGUAAAGUUUCAAUAUUUUGCUCUUUACUCUCUCUGUAUGAUGCACAUGAGUUGGUAUUUCUAGAGGAUGUGUUCUAUACAAUUAAUGUACCAAGACUACUCUGCCUCUGUAAGGCUUUGUUCAUAUAUUAUUUGUUACAUACAUUGAACACAAGAUCAAAUAUAUGCUGCAUGGAGAAGAAUUACCUGAUUUAUGACUGGAGUUACUAAUAUAUAAAAUUUCAAAUUGGAAUUGAUUGGUUUCUUCCACCGAUUUAGCAUCUAAUGAUAACGUUGAUCACUUUGCUACAGGUGGAUCUCUACCUGCUUCCCCAGGUAGCAUUUCCUACAGGAGGAUUAUACUUCAAGAACCAGACAUGGGUGCAAGAAACAAAGGGAUUGCAUGUUAUCAUCCAUAACAAUUAUAUCACAGGUUUUGAGAAGAAGAUAAAGCGCUUUCGUGACUUUGGGCUCUGGUUGGUAGAUGAUUAUGCACUGGAGUCCCCGCUUGGAAGGAUAUAACUAGCUGAAGGAUCUUAAGGAUACCCGUCUACAGCACAGUCAUGCUUGAACCUAGCAUGAAAUGCAACCUGUGAUUAGCUCUGUCAUUUGUGAUAACACUAAUGCCAUAAAUAUUUCAAAAAAUCCGGUACAACACUCUAGGACUAAGCAUAUAGAGAUAAGACAUCAUUUUCUUAGAGACCAUGCACAAAAGGGUGACAUUACACUUGAAUUUGUAAGCACAAAAGAUCUACUUGCCGAUAUUUUUACAAAACCCUUAAGUGAAGAGCAAUUUGUUGAUAUUAGAAGACAACUAUGGGUGAUUUCUUUAUGAUCAAAUGAUUGCUUGAUGAAUUCUUGUUGAUAUUACUCUUGAAUAUACCCUAUGAUUGCGUGAAAUUCAUAUCAUAUGCAUCAUAUAGAAAUAAUCUUAGGAAAAAGGUCAAAUUUUGACCAAAAAUCAAAAUUCCCGUGGCAUUGGACAUAAAAAAUUGGGGAUUUCAAUUGAAAAGGGUAGGGGGAGGAUCACGAGACAAGAAAAUGCAACAAAAUUUGGAAAAGUGACCGUUGGGCCUCAACCGGACCUCAAUCGGACCUCAACCGGUUGAGGUUCAACCUUGACCAAGAAGAGAAGGCCAUUGGGAGAAAGAGAAACUUUUUGGCCUCCCUCAACCGGUACUCGACCAAACGAGCACAACCGGUCGACCUGUUGAGCCAUUUUUUUGGCUCAACACUCAACCUUUUUCAACUUAAAACCUUUUAACACAAGUUUGAAAAUAAUUUAAUACAAGGUUUUAGUUGAAAACAUGAAAUCAUCCAAUUAUUAAGAUAUUUAAAACAAUAUUACUCUUGGAUGAUUUUGGUGCAUAAAUAAAUAAUGAAAUGUAUGAAAGUCCUAGUGCACCAACAACCUUAUAAAGAAAUCUUAAGAAGCUUUGGUCUUGAAAAACUCUUCUCUUUGAGGUGGUCUUCUUCUUCAUGAUUUUUUCUUGACUUGAUUUGUCUUUGGAUUGCCACUUUGGAAGUCGUCUUGCCUAAUCACACUUGAAAUAUGAUCAUUAGUUCUAAACCUUAUUUUGUUAUCAUCAAAAUCAAGAUUAACCAAACCUUGGUUUCACAAUAUGGAAGGAUGGUCAGCAUUGGCUUCCAAUUUUUCCCCAUGCUACUUGCCUCCUACACUUCCAAGAAUUGCACUGAAUGCCAACUGUAGAAAGUGCAGCUCUUUUCUGGAUUUGUUUUUCCUAUUUUCUGAGUUGGUUUGGCAUGAAGAACACAAAGCUGAGUUUGAAUAGUUCCCCUUGAUAUUCUUUUUUCCAGAAUCCCCACAUUCUUUACUACCUAUGAACUGCUCAAGCCUGAAUUCUGCCUAUUGUACUUGGUAGGGUGAAAUUUUAUGUACCCAUUGAGGCAAAGCACUCCAAUAUUUUUGGUUCCAAGUUUUGUAUCAUUUACUCAUACUUUCAUCUUAAAAAUGCUUCUAACAUAGUGUUGUUGAGUAAUGUUUGCUGAAUUGCAUAUUCUUUUCAAUAACUAUAGAGAAUUUAAACCGCAAAAUCCACAAGCCAACCUAUGUUCACUUGCAUGAGAUUGCAAUAAGGAAAGCAACAAGAAAAGGACAAGGUAAUACUAAAUUACAAAAUAGCUCUUCCCUAACUUGUAUUAUUCUAAAGAGAAUUUACAAGAAUACUCAGCCUUCUCUCAAGCAAAACUCUCAACACUCUCUUGGUAAAUUCAUGCUUUGAAUGGCUGAUGGCCAAAUUAUUUAUAGGCUUCAUCAACUUAAAACUUUUUAUAUAUCUUGGAACAAACUAUUUGAAUUCAAAUUGAAACCUUUUUAAAUUCAAAUUCAAAUUUUAAUUUCGGAUAUCUUCAGCCUGUUGUUGUUGUCACCUGUUGGCAACAUCCAAGGCUUACCUCCUUAGUAGUGUCACUUAUUCUCAAGCUCAACAACCCAUGCUACCAUCUUAGAACUACUUGCUUGCUUGCACAAGCACUUGCCAUUCAUACUUGUUGGAGAGAUUGGUUUAACCUAUGCUAAGUGGUUUUUAUUAAGAUAAGAGUCUUUGAAAGUAGGACAUGAUAUAAUAGAAUAAGUUUUGAUUAUUAUAUUUAUAAAUUAUGAUUUAUGGUUUCCAAUUUUAACUUAGAUUAUGUUAUUUAUUAUCUGAGCAUUCAUGCAUGCAUCACUUGCAUCUUAUAUGACUAAGGUGUAUUAAGAAUUGCAUAGAGAAUAAAAGUCAUAGGCUUUUUAUAAGAUGAUAAGUUGUUUACAAUUGUUCAUGGAAUUAGACAAUCCAUUUGAGACUAUAACACACUACUUCCUAAUCGGAGGAAAGACUUGUCUUAAUCAUCGGGAUGAAUUUCUUAUGGUGAGUACAUUAUGAUAUAUGACUAUAUAUUGAAUAAGACCUAUGAUAAGUCAUAACAUUGAUUAUCGAAUAGUUAUGACUCACCCAUAUUUCAAUUUGCACAUUUUUUUAAUUCAUUUUUUUUUAUCUUUUCUACUUACUUCACAAACUCACUCAUCUUCCUAAAUAAAAUAAUCUUUCUAUUUUUAAUUAUUUGAUUUUUAUCCUUCAUAAUUUAUUUUUUAAAAUUACCAAUCCACCCCAAGCUCGUGCACAAUUCAGGUUCUCUCAUGUUAUUAAGUAAAAUGAUUAUUUUAAAAUUUAUGUUAUAUAAAUGAUAUGAUUAAAUAGGUUAAAAAUUAAAUGUCUCAAAUUCUUAUUAUAAGUGACAACUGACAACUCAUACACUCAAAUUUCCACAGUUUAAAAAUAAUCUAAACUUAUUAAUUUAAGAUAAUUAAAAAUCUAUAAAUCAUAUAUUAAAAUAAUUAAAAAGUGAGAAAUGUCAGAAUUUAUUAUAUAUAUUUUAUAUUGUAAAUAAAAUAAUAGAUGAUAUAAUUUAAAAAUAAUAAAUAAAUAAUAAUAUGUAGGUUCGGUGUUGACAGGUUGCCAAAGCGUUCAAUCCCACCAACCUUAGCAUUUUGGAGUUAAUAUUUUUUUUAACUCAAGCCCCCAUUGAAACCUUGCCCAUGCCAACCUGAACCUUGAAUUGUGUAUAUAACAAAAAUGGUAAAUUAUGUAUUUUUUGCUAAACGAUAUAAUAUUUUACUAAAAAUUAUAAAAGAUAAAGAUAAAUAUUAAUAUUUUAAUAAAUUUAUAAAUUAUAUAUUUUUUUAAAGAUAAUAAUAUUUUCAUAAAUGAUAAACAUUAAUAAUAUUUUAUUUAUAUAAUUAUUAAAACAAAUAUAAUUGUGGAUUGUGCAUUCCUAUCCAAACGAUGAGACUUGCUUUUUAUUUGAUAAAAAAUAUGAUUUUUAUAAAAGAAUUAGAGUUUCCACUUAUUUUUAUUUUAUUUUUAAAGGAAAAAUAAAAUAAGAAAUAAAAUAAUAAUAUAAUAAUAAUAAUAAUAAUAUACAAAUCAAUAAAAACUAAAAAUUAAAGAGUGUCAAUGGUCAAAAAAUUCAGAUGUAAUUAAGAUUUAAAAUUUAAUAACAAAAUUGAGUUUAAAAUUAAUAUAAAAAUAAAAUUUGGACAAAUUUUAAGGUAUAUAAUAUAUUUUUUUUAAAAAUGUAUAAAUAACCAAACUUUCUUUAUUACAUAUAUAUAAAUUAGCUUCUCAAGUAUUAUCAUGAUACCCACGAUCCAUUUGGUCUAAAAUCUUUUAAUAAUUUAUAUAAUUUUUUACUUGCAAAUUAUUUUUAAAAACUUGUUAGAAUUGUCAAUAAAUAAAUAAAAAAUUAAGUGUCUCAUGAUUUUUAGUUUAUUUUCCUACUUAAAAAAAAUAAAAAAUUAAAAAUAAAAAAAGGAGGAAAAUCAUGUGACCAUGCAUUUCCUAAAAAAAUAGAAUUUUUGUGAAUUUUAAUUUUCGGGUGAAUGCGGAGAAAAUAAUUUCACUCUCAUCCCCUCCAACAAUAACAUUACUAUAAUUUCAAGAUUACCCACAUCUUCUACCAAUCAUCACUUAAUGCAUAGGAUUUUCCAUGACUCUAUUAAUCAUAAUUCCUCUUUUUAAAUCCUGAAGUGUGAAAUCCUAAUCCACUUAUUUUAUUAUUAACAACUAUCCUAAUGUCCUUAAAAAACCAUUAUCUAAUUUUAUUUUCAAGAAGUUUUUUCUUUCUUCAAGCCUAGCCUAAUAUACUAUUUUCAAUUUAAGCCUUAAAAAGAGUGAUACAUGUAAGUAAUGAAAUAAUAAAUUAAAUAACUUUGCUUUGUAUUACUUUGAUCCAAAUAAAACCAAGUUUAUGAUAACUUCCUUUUACGUAUUGAAAUUAUUGAUAACAUCACAUUGCAUUACACCAAAAUUCAAAAUUUGAUCAUGAACGAGUGCUUCUUCACACCCUUACACAAGAUUUACCAAAAUGGAUAAAAUGAUAAGAGAUAUAAAAAACCUGUACUUAAGAGUUAGAAAAAUGAUAGAUACCACAAGUACACCACUCCAUUCCCACUCCAAAUUUGGUGGAAUUUGAAAGCCUCGCCUUCUAUACGCAUCUCGUAUUCAAACUUAGACUCUAGAUUCAUUGAAAAUUUACUCUUCUUGUGUUAAUUUCUCAAUAAAGCACCAUUAUUUUGAAUCAUGAAAUGACCUCCAAAAACAUACAUAUCUUUGUUAUUUCUCAAACCAUUAUUUUGAAUCAUGAAAUGAACUCCAAAAACAUACAUAUCUUUGUUAUACCCUUCAAUUCUAUUUUAUCAUUGACUAAUAUUGUUAAGUCUAACAUUCUCACGAAACUAAAAUUAAAGAUAGAUAUAAAGAUAAAGAUAAAUAAUAAAAAAUAAGAGAGUUUUAAAACAAGACUCUUAUCAUUCAAAACUAAAAUUAAAGAUAGAUAUAAAGAUAAAAAUAAAUAAUAAUAAUAAAAAAAAGAGAGUUUUAAAACAAUGAGACUCGUAUCAUUCAAAGGCAUUUUAUAAUGCAUUAGAAGCGUUCAAAUGAUUGAUGUUGUACGGUCAUUAAUAGUAACUCUCCAGAAUCUUGCUGAUUUUUUACAAUUCUAGAAUAUUUUAUGUCCAGGCUAUGUUCAAGAAUUCUAUAGAAUACUAAACUCCUAAGCAUUUAUAGAGUUACGUAGACAUCUUUAAGUCUAUCUAAAAACUUCAUAUAUAUAUAUAUAUUUGGACACUUGAUCAAACUAUUACAAUCAAUCAUACACUCUCUCUUGUAACCAUAGAGUUAGUCGAUGAAAGAUCUACUCGAUCUAUGAUGAACAUCCUAACACAUUUUAGUUUUAGGAUUGUUUGUUGUUUUUAACUCAAGUUUCAAUACAAGUUGCUUUACGAUUUAAUUUAAUUUAAUUUUUUUUAAAUUACCUUUUCUAUAAAUUUGUCUUGGAAGAAAGUGAUAAGUUUAAAAACAAAUCAUUUUAAAAAUGACUUGCAUCUUAAUGCAAGUUGUUUUAAGAACUUUAUAUUAUUAAGUAUUAUUUAGACUUGAGUUAAAUCAAGAUCCAUUUCGAUUUAAGACAAAUCAAACACCACCUAAAACUACAAAUUCAUUUUAGAAAUAUCAAUAGGAAAUAAAGGUUAUCAAUGUACAAGUGAAAAGAGAAUCCAAAUUCUACCUUGAUUAGAUUUUAAUUAAAUAAUAAUAAAAUUUUAAUUCCUAUUCUCACUUCUAAUAAAUUAUCCAAACAUUAUGAAUAGGAUAACAAAUUAUUUUCAAUAGGAUAUGACUGACAUGAUAACCUGAAGUAUUAUAUUCAAUAAAAAAAUUAAAAUUAUAUGUAUUAUUUUUAAUAAAAUACGUUAUGCCAUAUAAAUAUUUUAUUUAUAAUAGAAAUAAAAAAUAAAAUACAAAACAUAUUACCUCCUAAUUUUUUAUAUUUUUAAGAAAAAUAAAAAGCAUAUCCCAUCCUAUAACUUAAUAGUUAAAAAAUAUAAAACUCUCAUGGUUAAUGUUACCCAAAAAUCUUUCUACACUUUAUAUUUAAUAUAUAACCUUUUAUUUCUUAUUAGCAAUAUUCAUAAUUAAUAUAUCUAAAAUCUUGUAAAUAAAAAAUAUUACAUGUUUCUAUGUAAUUUUUUAAAUUCUUCUCUUUCUCAGACCACAAAUUUAAUAUUUAAUUAAAAAAAUUCUUGCAAUUGAUGAAUAAUAAUAAUAAUAAUAAUAAUUUAUGUUCACUGACAAAAUAUGAAAUAAAAUAAAUGAUAAGAUAAUAUAUUCUAUCACAAUGCCGAUCAAACAUUCAUAGGAUCCAUGCUAUCCAACAUCCAGUCAAUCACCCAACAUGGUGAAUCAAAUUAUGGUUUAUGUGGACCAUAAAUUCAAACCCAAACUCUACAGAAAGGUGGCGACAAGACAAAAUUACACUGCCAUUACAUAUAAGUCAAAUUAUUUUCUUCCAAUUCUAUUAAGGAAGAGGAAAUUUUCCGAUGAUUAAAAUGAAUGUUGUACAUAUAAACAAACAAACAUGGUAAAACUACAACAGCAGAUCUUAGAGAGAGUACACUAAAAACACAACACAAAUAUAUUUUACACUACACACGAAUAAAUUAUAAUGAACCCCUACGUAGUUGGAAAAAAAAAAAUUAUAAUUACAAAAGUAACAGUAUCACGUUUGGAAGAAUAAACUGACAAAAAUUUACCACAACAUAGGUGGCACAACUAGGUAGCAACUUCCAUGGAAGUGGCUUCUGCAUCCACUGGAAAUGAACUUCAUAGAGGAAAAAACAAGUUUCUAUACACAUGCAAGCACCACCUCUGGAAUAAAGUAAUCCUAUACAUUUCCGCUAAAUAACAUUUCAGAAAGCUAACGGGAUAAAAUCUCUGAUACCCGCUCUCGUGCAUCUGCAGGGAUCUCCCUUCCUGGGACCUGGACCUUCAGAAGAUUUGUGUACCUGUCAAUUGGAUAAUAGUGAAUGUUACUGAGCUAAACAUCAUUUAUCCAUCCUAAAAUAAAUAAAUGUUCAGUUGUAUUCACUAACUCUGUGGCUGUAAAUAGAUUCUCAUGCUCCGUGAUGAAUGCAAGAAGGGCCUGCAAGCAAGAAUUAAAAGGUGAUAUCUGAUGGUGACACGAAGGUAAUGAGAUAAAAGAGUAUGAGUUCAAAUAACUUGCCUCGAAUGGCAUGUUUAGAAGUUCAUAGUAAGUGCGAAUGUGAUCUAAUCUCUGUUGUACAGUUUCACUGUCAAUCGAGGGGAUAGCUGCCAGGGCCUGUAAUUUCAAUAAAAUUUGUAAGUUGUGUUUUUGGAGGAAACAUGGCUAAAACAUGCUGAAAUGCACACAUGCUCCUUUCUUCAGCUCAACUCAACAAACCAUGCCAUCCAUUGGGUUUUGGUUGCAAGGAUCCUACUUCUCCAUUCCAUCUAACAAACAUAUUGAUAGGUUGAAAAUUUUUAAGAUGCAUGCACUUAUUUAGAGACAAUAGAAUAGCUCGAGAAAAGGUUUAACUAAUAAGAAAAGAACUAACUUUUAGGUUUAAGCUACAAAACUAAGCAGUUCAGACAGAUGUUAUUAUCUUUUUAGAGAAAAAAUGUUCAAGAAAAGAAAGAAAAAAGAAAAAAACAUACCAUCAGUUUUAGAAGAAAUGUAGCAUAUCAAAAAGGGGGUAGACUCUAGCUAAUUGGUAUUAUUUGUAUAAAGAGAGGAAUUGAGAAUCGCAUCCUCAACCAUUGUGGGUGUCUAUAUAGUGUAUGGUCCUUAAUGUUCUUAUUCUAAGUAUGCUGGAUGUUGCCCCAUUCUGUGAAGGGCACAUCACCUAGUUGGCACUGGAAGUUUGUUGUUAAAGUUAGAGGGAGUGUGCAAAGGGUCACCCCACAACAUUCCCUAUCGUGCAUCUAGAAAGAGCACAAUCAUUGAGUUUCUGAAGGAUUGGGGCCUCUGAUUUGGCAUUAAAAGAGUGUUUUCCCAGAACUUUUUUUGCAUGGUGAAGCAGCCAACUAGGAGAACUAAAUUUGUUUUUCUUCAAUUUCAGAGUUUGGAUGGCAAUUAAAUCCUGCUUUAUGCCUUGUGCAGUUCCUUUUCUGUUUUCUUUUAGUUCCAGUGCUGCUUGUAUAUUUCAAGGUAGUUUAUGGUUUUCUACAUAAAAUUUGAACUCUUUGAAGUACCGUAAAUGCCAAUUAAUGAAAUAAACAAAAUGCAGCUGCAUUUUCAAAGCAGGUGCAGAUGUGCCCACACAUUGUAUGUUAUUUCAAUCAUUUUUAAGUGAAAAAAAGAAAAAAAGAAAAGAAAAGAAAAAAAAAGAAUAAAAUGUACCUGUUCCAAUGCAAUUGAAUUCCGACAUAUCUGCUGAACCCCAAAAAGGUUGAUGGAUUUCAUGUCAGCCAAAGCCUAUAAAACAUUUGUAUUCUCUGAUUAAUGGUGCAUACAAGGAACAUAAUAGGUGCCACUACAAUUGAUUUCAAUUAGAACUACAAUCUGAAAAAUAAGCAAUGGAAGGCACGAAUAAAUUUCAAAUUGACCCAAAUUGUUGGGAACAUGCAAACCUUCAUUGAUGCAUUCGCUGCAAUACUACAUAUCCCGCCAAAUAUAUAAUUCCGUUUCACUCCAGCAACAAAAGGAGCCAUUUCCUCAUCCCUCCGUGUUAUCUAUGGGUUAAAGUAGAAACAAUAUGUAAGAAUUGCUUCCAAAGAUUUCCAUGAGUAUUUAGUACUUCAAAAAAUGGAGUAUAUGGAACAAAGAAAAAAUGCAUUUCCUGUCCAGGUCAACAUUUUGACCCAUAACACAUUUAGUGCCUCGUAUAUAAUAGAGGAAAUGGCAAAGAUGUUCAAACUCCAUCACGACACUUCACUAAGAAAACAGCACACUACACUUCAUUUUUCUAUGCAUCUAUAAAUAUGUGCUCAACGUUUUACAUGAUGUGGACGCAUUUAAUAUUUUUUUUUUCCUUUUUCUUUUUUCUGAUAAGUACAAGGUAUUAUAUAAAUUGUCUAAAAAUGAUUAUUCAAAAAGAACUACAAGGGCACACCAAGUAUAGUGUGGGUAUACAAGGGGCACCAAGAAAAAGUAGAAAAAGAAAAGCGAACCAUGCCUAAUUUGACCCUAAACAGUCAACAAAAUCCAACAUUAGAUGUCCCUCCUAUACAGUGCCUAACACAAUAUAAUAUUAAAAAAAAAAAAAUUGUACAUAAAAUAGGAUUUGAGCAUUUAUUCUGAAAUUCCCACACUUCCAAAAGCCCUCUGACUUUAUGCCACCAAAUUGCCCAAUAAAAAACACGGCAUAAAUGAGCAACAAACUACACUUUCUUCCGCCUCUUCCUGACAAAGAGCCUGUUCCAGCUUAACAACAUUGGUCUUAUAGAAGAAUGGGUCACCCAAUCAAUCCUAAAUAAAGAAAAAUACAGCCGCUACAAGAUUCCAACUAAUAAGCAGUGUAAAAAAAUGUUAUCAAUGGAUUCUUCUUCCCUGUUACACAUAACACUUGUUCCCUAAAGACACUCCUCUCCCUAUUCAAUUGGUCCAAAGUCAAUAUUCUUCCCCAUGUUGCUUCUCAUGGAAAAAAAUACCACCCUAAUCAGGAUCCAUGAGUUCCAAACAACUUUGGAUGGGAAAAGCUAUGAACCUCCUAAUGACAAAAAAGAGUAGAAUGCUUUAACUAAGAUCUUCCUAUUCUUUGAAUCUGACCAAGCCAUCCUAUCUGUAGAGUUCCGAAUCACCACUUGCUUUUGCAGUUUCUGCAAAAAGGUCUUCGCCAUCUUUGACUCCCAAUCAUAAACAUGAGCUCCAAUUCUUCCCCUCUUGCUCCCACAUAUAUAUGACUCACAUCUUUUGAGCUUGCUAUGGCAAACAUGGUUCAAAGUCACAGUAUCGGUUGUUGACUUGGCAAGUCCCAAGGAGUAUCAAUUUUGGUAUCUUGGAUCGAUAUCGGGCGAUGUGUGCAAUAUGCUAGUUGAGAAGGUUAAAAAACUCUAAAAAAACUAAUGAAAAUUAAAAAAAAAAAAAAAAUAGUUGUAAUUAGAUGGACUCAACAUUUUUUUUGAUAGACAACAAAAGCAUGUAUUAUGAAGUGCCAAAAAGUGGGCGUGCACCCUAUGUAUAGGGCCAAUAUACACAAAACAUCACAAUACAAGCACCAAGCAUAUACAAGGCUAGCCUACGAAAAACAAGCCAAGCUAUACACAAGGAAGAGCAUAUGAGAUAUCCAAAAUAUAAGCGUUCUCCCUUUUUAAUGAAACAUGGGACCACUCUAAUAGUGAUGUAAUGAAGAACUCCUUUAAUCUUUGAUUUGAGAGUUCUUCAUCAUAAAAGGUCCUCUAGUUACGCUCUUUCCAAAUACACCAAAAUAAGCAAAUCGGAGUCAUGCACCAAACAAUUCUUCUCUUCUUAUAUGACCCCUUAAUUUUCCAUUCAAGCUAAAGACUACUAACAGAAAAGUCCCUGGCACUCUUGUCUUAUCAUAAUGAAUCAAGAUGUGAUCAAUCGAUCCUUCCUUGUCUAUACAAAGGCUCCAUCUACCGACCAUAGGUCAUCCCUUUUUCAUUAACAUAUCUAUGAUUAAGAUCUUCCCCCAAAUAGCCUCCCAUGCCAAAAAAACAAAAAAACCGCAUUCUAAGGGAAGCUCGAGAUCCCCAAAUCUCUUUGACUGGGAGCACUGAAUUACUGUCAGUGCUGAAGGAUAUGUACUACAAUUUAUCCUCCCCCCACAUUGUCUUUCCAAAGUAAGUGUUCUCUCCUUCUUGCACUUUCAAAGGUAAAUAACAUCCAAAAAUUGGGCCACCUGCCAAUCUUGGAAGGAUCUUCUAAAUUGAACCUCCCAAAGGCCACCUCCACCUCCUCCAUACCAUAAAUCUGCAACUCUUGCAUUUUUUGAGGAGGCUAUUUUAAAAAGCUUAGGCAAUGUGUCUUUUAACUUAAACUUCCUCGUAAUCUAUCCCACCAAAAUCUUGUACAUCUACCAUUUUUUAUUCAGAUAGCUAAUCUAAGGCUAAAAUCUUCCCAACCUUUUCUAAUGUCUUUCUUCUUUCCUCCAUAUUUCCCCACAAAAAGUCUCUUGAAUUUUCUGGGAAUUGGAAAGAGGGACAUAAAAUAGGUUGGGAAGUUUGAUAAAGAGCUCUUAAUAAGGACUAGUCUUCCUCCUUUGGACAUGUACUACUUUUUCCAAGCAUUCAAUUUCCUGUUAAACCUCUCCUCGAUUGAAUCCCACACACCACAAGACUUAUGAGGAGCCCCAAGAGGUAAACCUAGAUAGAAGAAGUAGGAAGUCUCCUACUUGCAACAAAAAACAAAAGCCACUCUAUCCGCAUCCUCCACCUCCCACACUGGAAUAAUUUAACUUUUUUGCAUGUUUAUUUUCAAACCUGACAUCACCUCAAAGCAAGUGACUAUCCUAUUCCAAUAUUUCAACCAAACUACAUUAUCCUCAUAAAAUAAAAAAGUAUCGUCUGCAAACAAUAGGUGUGAGACUUGAAUCCCUUCUUUCCCAUUAUCCUCAAUCUUGAAGUCAUUAAUGAAACCUCCAUAUUGAGCCUUCUCAAUUAGGCAACCAAGGGUUUCCAUGACUAGUACAAAAGGAUAGGGUAAAAAAGGGUUCCCCUACCUCAAGCCUAUAGAGGUCAAGAAGAAAUUUGUGGGGGUGCCAUUGAUCAGUACUGUCAAUCUCACAGAAGAUAUGUAAAAGUGGAUCCACUCUAUCCAUUUAAGACCAAAUCCCAUCUUUUCUAAGAUCGAGAGGAGAACUUCUAAUUUAUAUAAUCAUAAGCUUUUUUUAUAUCCAAUUUGCAAACAAAGCCUAAAUAAGUAGAAGAAAGUCUCUUCAUUUGACAACCCAACUCAAACAUGGCUUUUUCUAUAUCCAAUUUGCAAAUGAAGCCUAAAUAAGUAGGAUGAAGUCUCCCCAUCCAACAACCCAUCUCAAAUACCAACACUUCCAAAUUAUCUAGCCUCCCAACCUUAAGCCCACUCUUCUCUAGAUUGAUUUUUUUCAGCCCCGAAAUCACCUCAAGCUACUUGAGAAUCCUAUUCAAAUGAAACAACUACUCUUAGGUUGCCUUACAAAAAAUGAUGUUAUCACUAGUGUAUAAUAGAUGGGUCACCUUAACUCCCUCCCCCCACCAACCCUCCUCCUCCUUUGAACCCAGAAAUGAAACCCUUUUCCAUUUCCUUUAUGACCAAAGGACCAAAUGCCUCCAUAGCCAAACAAAUAAAUAAAAGGAAAGUGGAUCUCUCUACCUUACCCUUAAGGGUUGUGGAGGUCCCAUUAACUAAGACCAAAAAGCUAAUUGAAGACACGCACUUCUUCAUCCAUCCCAUCCACCUCUAACCAAAUCCCAAUUUUCUCCAUGAGUAACAAUAAGAAACCCUAGUUAACAUGAUCAUUAGCUUUCUCUAUGUCAAGCUUACAAAUGACUCUAGGAAUGUUACUCUCAUACCUUGAAUCUAUGGCAUCAUUUUUUUUUUAAUAGGUAAACAUAAUCAUUUUAUAAAAAGAAACGCCAAAAAAAGCAUUCCAAAGUACAUAGGAUGUAUACAAGGAAACACCUUAAGGCAACACAAAAACAAAGAGGGACACCAACAACAACCCCCUUAACCUGAACCCAACCACUCCACAAAGUCUAUAAAGGAAAAAGGACUACGAACUAUGUACAACUUGCACCACACCUAAAGAUUACAAAUGAAGGAGAAUUCGAACCCUUGAAUUGACCACCCCUCAUUAUCAAAUGCCCUACUAUUUCUUUCUUUCCAAACAGUCCAAAAAAAGCAUAAAGGAGCAGCUCAUCAUGCCUUUUUCUUUUUCUUACCCACAAAAAAGCCAUGCCAUCUUAGCAAAGCCUCUCUAACCGAGGAAAAGAGCACCCACAACACACCAAUAAGGGAGAACAAAAGAUGUCGUAAAACUCUUGUUCUAUCACAAUGAAAGAGAACGUGAUCAACAGAUUCUUCUUUGUUGAAUAUAAUGUAUUUAUAGUAUAUUAUCUUUCCUUGUUAAUAUAGGUCACAUGUAUGGUAGUUAGGACUCCUAGCCUUGUAUAUAUAUAUCUCUCAAUUGUAAGUAGAAAAUAUAUGAAUGAGAAUUAAGAUUUUUCUCCUUUUUCUCUCUUUUAACAUGGUAUCAGAGCCAAAGGAGAAAACCUAAUUUUUUUUUUCGGUUUAGCCGUGUAAUCAAUUCCGGCGAACCGUCCAGUGACCGUGUUUCACUCCGGUCCCCUCAUUUUCUUCCCGAACCACUCCGGACAACCUCAUCGCCGUCGGAUCUCCACCACGCCGGCAACCUUUUCCGGCGAACUUUCCGGUGAACUUUUCCGGCGACGUCUUUUUCCGACACCGACCACACCAAGAGGAGCGCCUGGAGGAGAUCUCCAACUUCUUCAAAAGUAUCGGAGCCAGAAAACCCUCCACGCGCCGGCCACGCGCACUUCUCCGGCCGGCGACUGAAUCUCACGCGCCGGCGCGUGAGGGCGCGUGAGACCUUUUCCGGCGACGCGCCUCCUCCUCCAGCCUCGCCUGACGCCGACCAGCAUCCCUACCUACCUGGUUCUCCCAUCCGAGCCCUGCACGUACCUCUUUUGGGGAUUUUUGUCUCCGUCAGCCCUCCAAACAGCCUUUUCGGCGAAGUUCCGGCUACUUUUUCUCCACCCCAAUCCCUGCACGUGCCUUGGGAAGUGUUCUUCUACCCUUCUGGUGGUACCACGUCGCGAUCUGAGGCCGUCUCCCUUUUUCGAUGGUGCCACGCCGCAAUCUGCAGCCGUAUUAGGGCUCUCUUCGAUCCAAAUACGUGAAUAUGACCACCAAAAAUCAGAUCUUUACCUCUGUUAUCUCUGGAUCUCCUAUGAUUACCUCAGAGAAAUUGGUUGGCAGUGAGAAUUAUCGCUCCUGGUCUGCCUCUGUUGAACUUUGGUUUAUGGGUCAAGGAUAUGAGGAUCACUUGGUUACCCAGGAGGCAGAUAUCCCUGAGGUUGACAGCGUACAAUGGAGGAAGAUAGAUGCACAGUUAUGUAGUGUAUUAUGGCAAUCGGUUGAUCCCAGAAUUCUUCUUUAUCUUCAGGCCAACAAAACUUGUUUUAAAUUUUGGACUCAGGCCAAAGGAUUAUACACGAAUGAUAUCCAGCGUCUUUAUAAGGUGGCUUCUACUAUUGUCCAUCUCAGCCAACAGGACUUGGAUCUAUCUACUUAUAUUGGUCAGAUUGCCUCUCUUAAGGAGGAGUUCUUGACUGUGAUGCCUCUUACUCCUGAUGUUGGGGCUCAACAAACACAGCUUGACAAGUUCUUCAUGGUCCUUACUCUUAUUGGCCUCCGUCCGGAUCUUGAGUCUAUUCGUGAUCAGAUUCUUGGAAGUUCAUCAGUUCCGUCCUUGGAUGAUGUGUUUGCUCGCCUCCUCCGUAUCUCGUCCACUCAGACUUUGUCAUCUGAUAGCGCUUCAGAUUCUUCUGUGUUAGUUUCUCAAACUACAUCUCGAGGAGGACGCAGUGGUACCCGAGGUAGAGGCCAACGUCCUCAUUGCACCUAUUGCAAUAAACUUGGCCACACUCGCGAUCGUUGCUAUCAGUUACAUGGAAGACCUCCUUGCACUGCCCAUAUGGCCCAGUCCUCUGAUUCUCCGCUGCCUCAGCCUCCGAGCUCCUCCGCAUCUCAGACAUCUCAGGCUUCUAUUGCCUCUGUUGCCCAACCUGGUAAUGCCUCUGCCUGCCUUACCCACACAUCUUCUCUUGGACCCUGGAUUCUAGAUUCUGAAGCAUCUGAUCACCUAUCUGGUAAUAAGGAUCUUUUUCUCCUCUAUUACUAAUACCUCUGAUNNNNNNNNNNNNNNNNNNNNNNNNNNNNNNNNNNNNNNNNNNNNNNNNNNNNNNNNNNNNNNNNNNNNNNNNNNNNNNNNNNNNNNNNNNNNNNNNNNNNNNNNNNNNNNNNNNNNNNNNNNNNNNNNNNNNNNNNNNNNNNNNNNNNNNNNNNNNNNNNNNNNNNNNNNNNNNNNNNNNNNNNNNNNNNNNNNNNNNNNNNNNNNNNNNNNNNNNNNNNNNNNNNNNNNNNNNNNNNNNNNNNNNNNNNNNNNNNNNNNNNNNNNNNNNNNNNNNNNNNNNNNNNNNNNNNNNNNNNNNNNNNNNNNNNNNNNNNNNNNNNNNNNNNNNNNNNNNNNNNNNNNNNNNNNNNNNNNNNNNNNNNNNNNNNNNNNNNNNNNNNNNNNNNNNNNNNNNNNNNNNNNNNNNNNNNNNNNNNNNNNNNNNNNNNNNNNNNNNNNNNNNNNNNNNNNNNNNNNNNNNNNNNNNNNNNNNNNNNNNNNNNNNNNNNNNNNNNNNNNNNNNNNNNNNNNNNNNNNNNNNNNNNNNNNNNNNNNNNNNNNNNNNNNNNNNNNNNNNNNNNNNNNNNNNNNNNNNNNNNNNNNNNNNNNNNNNNNNNNNNNNNNNNNNNNNNNNNNNNNNNNNNNNNNNNNNNNNNNNNNNNNNNNNNNNNNNNNNNNNNNNNNNNNNNNNNNNNNNNNNNNNNNNNNNNNNNNNNNNNNNNNNNNNNNNNNNNNNNNNNNNNNNNNNNNNNNNNNNNNNNNNNNNNNNNNNNNNNNNNNNNNNNNNNNNNNNNNNNNNNNNNNNNNNNNNNNNNNNNNNNNNNNNNNNNNNNNNNNNNNNNNNNNNNNNNNNNNNNNNNNNNNNNNNNNNNNNNNNNNNNNNNNNNNNNNNNNNNNNNNNNNNNNNNNNNNNNNNNNNNNNNNNNNNNNNNNNNNNNNNNNNNNNNNNNNNNNNNNNNNNNNNNNNNNNNNNNNNNNNNNNNNNNNNNNNNNNNNNNNNNNNNNNNNNNNNNNNNNNNNNNNNNNNNNNNNNNNNNNNNNNNNNNNNNNNNNNNNNNNNNNNNNNNNNNNNNNNNNNNNNNNNNNNNNNNNNNNNNNNNNNNNNNNNNNNNNNNNNNNNNNNNNNNNNNNNNNNNNNNNNNNNNNNNNNNNNNNNNNNNNNNNNNNNNNNNNNNNNNNNNNNNNNNNNNNNNNNNNNNNNNNNNNNNNNNNNNNNNNNNNNNNNNNNNNNNNNNNNNNNNNNNNNNNNNNNNNNNNNNNNNNNNNNNNNNNNNNNNNNNNNNNNNNNNNNNNNNNNNNNNNNNNNNNNNNNNNNNNNNNNNNNNNNNNNNNNNNNNNNNNNNNNNNNNNNNNNNNNNNNNNNNNNNNNNNNNNNNNNNNNNNNNNNNNNNNNNNNNNNNNNNNNNNNNNNNNNNNNNNNNNNNNNNNNNNNNNNNNNNNNNNNNNNNNNNNNNNNNNNNNNNNNNNNNNNNNNNNNNNNNNNNNNNNNNNNNNNNNNNNNNNNNNNNNNNNNNNNNNNNNNNNNNNNNNNNNNNNNNNNNNNNNNNNNNNNGAAGAGUAAGAAACAAGAUGUAGUGGUCAGAUCUAGCGCUGAAGCCGAGUAUCGAGCUAUGGCUUUGGCAACAUGUGAACUCAUAUGGUUGAGACAUCUUCUUCAGGAGUUGAGAUUUGGAAAGGAUGAACAGAUGAAACUCAUCUGUGAUAACCAGGCCGCAUUACAUAUUGCAUCCAAUCCAGUCUUUCAUGAAAGGACCAAGCAUAUUGAAGCUGACUGUCAUUUCAUUAGAGAGAAGAUCGCAUCAGGAUGUGUUGCUACAAGUUUUGUUAAUUCAAAUGAUCAACUAGCAGACAUCUUCACUAAAUCUCUCAGAGGUCCUAGGAUUAAAUAUAUUUGUAACAAGCUUGGUGCAUAUGACGUAUAUGCUCCAGCUUGAGGGGGAGUGUUGAAUAUAAUGUAUUUAUAGUAUAUUAUCUUUCCUUGUUAAUAUAGGUCACAUGUAUGGUAGUUAGGACUCCUAGCCUUGUAUAUAUAUAUCUCUCAAUUGUAAGUAGAAAACAUACGAAUGAGAAUUAAGAUUUUUCUCCUUUUUCUCUCUUUUAACAUUCUUCUUUGAGGCAUAGGAAACAUCUAUUCGCCAAAGACCACCCUCUCCUUUGAAUGUGAUCCAAAGUUAGAACCUUCCUCCAAGUAGCUUCCCAAACAAAGAAAACCACCCUCGACUGCACUCACAAAUUCCAAACCACACUUGUUGGGAAGACACCUUGCCUUCUUGGCUCCAACACCUUGUACAAGGUCUUGACAAAGAAAGUCUCAUACUUGGACUCGGUCCACAGAACUUCAUCAUCCCUAUCCAAGAACACCCUCCUCCCAUGCAAUCUCAGAAGGUAACGCUCAGUGGUUUCCAACUCCCAAUCAUUGAUUCGCCUAGAGAAACGACAGGCCUAACACCCUCAGAAGAAUGGUUCCAAACCUCCUCCACCCAUGCCUCCUUGGAACAAGCUACAACAAGGAAGGAAAAGAGAUGCACAAAGGCGCAUCACCACACCACUUAUCCUUCCAAAACCUCACCCUCCUGCCAUUCCCCACCAAAAAAGACAACUCUGCAGCUUAACAAGUCUCCCUCCAUCUUGAUGGAUUUCAUAACCCUACCCCAUAUGCUUCCCUCACCUUGCAAGAGCGCCACCCUCCUUCCUACUCCCCAUAUUUUCUGCUGAUGAACCACGUCUAGAAUUUUUCUAACCUUCAUAAAUGCAUGUUGGAAGUUGGACGCUACUUUACCCACAACCCUUCUCAACCUAUUAGCCAAAAAUUUGGCUAGCACCUUAGAUAGCCCUCCCACCCAACUAGUAGACCUGAAAUCUUUCAAAUCCUUGACAUCUUCUUUAUUAGGAAUCAGUGAAAAAAAAAAUAUAGCAUUUAAACUUCUUACAAAGGAACCCCACUUGAAAAUUUCUUUGAAAAAGCUCAUUGCUUACUCUUAAUAAAGUCCCAAUAAUGCUAUCAAAAGGCUAUAGUCAAACCAUCUAGCCCAAGAGCUUUGUCCCCCCACUCAAACAUGACAAGGCAGAAAAUACUUCUUCCUUUGAGAAAAGAACCUCUAAGCCCCCUUACAACAACCUCUGACAGAAUGUCACACUAAUAAACUCUCAUUCUCCCUCCUUGCAACCACCUCUGAUCCCCUUAAAUUACUCGGAACAUUCUCUAGAAACUCCACUGAGCUCCCAUCUAAAAAAAGCCAUCUUCAACCGUCCCCCAUCAUAGUAGUGGUCAUAGCCCCUUCCACCAUUUCAACCCCAUUGCUCAAUCCACAACCCCCCACUAAAAAAAAAACCAACUGCCUAUUCGAAAAAGGAAAGCCCUCACCCCCGUAGAAAUGGAAAAAGGGUACAAACCUCUAAACCUUGUCACCCCAGCCAAAAGGGCCUCCUCGACAAACAACAACAUUGCUACUUCCCUUGAAGCAAGCACCACCUCGCUCACCAAGACAACUUCAUGCAUCAAGAAAAUCUAAAGCAAAGGGAAAUCUUCAUCCCAAGGUCCCACUAUCACCAAAGACACUCCAUCAUCUCAAGGCCUCUUACGGACUUGCCUUCUUUAAAAGAAAACAAAGAUGGGCCACCCCUUAGCCCUCCACUUCCACUAAAGCUACCAUUGGCCCAACCCACUUCAUCCAAUUGGGCUCCAUUCAUUAAGCAAUGGCAUAGCUCUUUAUUAUUGCACAGGCUCAUUCGACACAAAUCAGCCCUGUCCACCAUCAGAAAACCCUCCUACCCAACUCAAGGAACGUCCAAAUGCUCUAAAGGAUCCACCAGAGAUUGAGGAGUCUCCAUGGCCCACUAAGACUCUUUUUCUAGGCCCAAGAGGAUAUAAGCCAGCCUCCUUACCAGUGGACCAAAAGUUCCCACUUCUUUUACAGCCACUGCAACCCUUAUGUCUUUUGCAACUGCCUCAGCUUCACGGGAAACACAUGUUUUGCACCCUUUUUGACCAACCCCACAUCCUUUCCCACUCUCCCCUCUACACAUGCCAACACAUAUCUACCUUCUUCAACCUUCAGCUCUCUUGCCCUCAACACUACCCGAUUCACCCAAGUUGAGAUUUCCGACCACAAUUGCACUGCAAAGCAUGACAAACCAACCACCGCAUGCAACAACCUCGGCAGCAAUUCACUGUAAUUUCUAUCAAAGAUCCUAGCCCACUGCAAAUGCCACAAAGCCCUCACAAGUAUCCUCCAUCUGCUUCAAUAAUUUCCUAUCCCAUAAGUGCAACAGUAAGCCCAAAACUCUCACCCAAACUUCACUGGCAUGAACAACAGCCCACCUCUGACGACAGCAUUUCAACUAUCACCCAUCUAAGAAUAUAUUCAACUGAAUUUUUCACUAAUCAUUGAAAAUCUCCUCACCAUGUCAGCCAAAGUAAAAUCGACCUUUGUGGUUCCUUAACAAGGAAAAGGAAUUAGAAUUUCAUCCCAAGCAAAUUGAUAACAAAUAAGUUGAUUAGAAUUUGAGAUAACUGAAGAGAAAAGCAAUAACAACUCUUUGACAGGUUGAAAUAUAUAUAAACAUGCCUUUUGCAGGGCCAACAAUGUGAUAUUGGCCGCUACUUGCCCUAAAAAAGGAGCAGGAAAACUUACUGACCUGUGCAGUGAGUGAAAUAAUAAAAUCAUCUGGUUCUUCAGCAUCUUGGUCAUCCAAGUAUUCCCUGCUGGUCAUUUCCUGUUUAAAUUGAAGUGCUAUAUAAGUUAAGUAGUCUCACUUCCAAUUGAGGCAAAUAUUAGUAAACUAUGUAUAUUUCACAAACCUGCAUAUGGAAAAUUGUCUCCAAUUGCAUCUCUACACGUAAAACCUUAAGGCAAUCAAUUGCCAGUUUCCUGUACUCAUCAGCAAAUGAUGCCAGAUUCCUAGGAGGUGCACUGCUUGUUUGAGUAUGGUGGUGCAUUUUCUGCUUGCCAUUUUCUUCUACUGGAUUAGAUGCUCUAAUGGAUGCUUUCCCAAGCCUAUACAUUGCAUUAGAAGGUCCACAUAAGCUUUGGUUAAUAUCUUGCCACCACUAUUUUUUGAAAAGCUAAGUUCUCUAUUAUAUAGGAUGAGAUGCAGGGAUCUAAUGGGCUUCAAAUAUUAAUGCUAGAGUCCAUAAUCGAGAAAUUUAUGCAUCUAUAGAAGGUAGGUUCUAUUGUGUAUAUUAAGGGCCCAGUCCCUGUGAGCUGAAUGGCAAGGGGCCUCCUACACAAACAUGCACUGGAAACAGAAUAACAUGGCAAGUUUCACUAGAUACUUCCAGAAUAUUAUGUUGCAGCCUUCCCAGUAAGCACAAGGCAUGCUUCUUCAGAAGGUCAAUUCAUGUUCAGAAUUACUUCAAAGAAAUUAAAAACAAAGACACACACAAAUGUGUGCACACAUCUGUAUGCACAACAUUUUUUUCCUUAUUGAGACAAAUACAACAUAUGUCAACAUCAUCUACCAUCAUAUAUUUAAAAAGUUCAUGCGGGUAAAGAUCAUCAUGUACAAUUCCUUCAAACAAAGAAUCUGAUGAAAAACACAAGCCUCCGAUGAUACUUAUGGCAAGACCCAAGUGCAAAUAUCAAAGAUAAGGAAACUCUUCUUGGAUGGAAUGGAGUGUUUGUGGGGAAAGGUUGCAAGAAGGCUUGGCAAAUGGCUCACUUAUGUAUAUUUUGGUCAAUCUGGAAGGAAAGGAAUAGAUUAGCUUUUGGGAAUGAGGAGCUUUCACUUCAAAGAUUGAAAUAUUCUUUCGUAUGUAAUCUUUGGUCUUGGGUCAGGGUUUCCUUAGUUUUGACCCCUUCUUCUCUUGUAAGUUUUUUAGACUAGAUAGGCUCUAAGUAAGGGAAGGCCGUGUGUAUACUACCUGUAUACUUUGAGGGCACUAGUUUUUGGUGUUUCCUCUUCUUGAUUAAUAUACUUCCCUUUAUUUAUCAAAAAAAAAAAAAAAAAGAAGACAAAUGUUUCAUGUAAAAUAAUUAUGAUCAAGGAAGUAAGAGAAUCACUAGCAGAAAAUGCCCAAAAUGGAGACGGAUUGCAUAUGCACAUGCCCCUAAAACAUAUAACACAACUAAAAUGUAAAAAUAGGUUUAAUAGACUUCAAUACACAAACUGGUGCAGUAAGCCAAGACUUGGGCAAGGAAGAAGCCUACUGUCAUAAGUCAAUCAGUUCACAUAUACUAGUAUGUGAUCCAGAAAUCAAAAUUCACAAUGUAGUGGCUUGGCAGCAACAGAAAAAUUAAUAUAUACAAUGACAAACAUGGGAACCAUGAAAUUCUUUACUCAGUGGUGGUGGCUGCACAACCUUAACUGAGUAAUCUUGCAUCCAACCUAUAAAUUGAUAUUAUGCCAUGAAAGCAAAAAUAUUACAAACAUGAUCCCACAUGUGCACAUAUAUAAAGAGAUGUACUGGGGGGAGAAGUUAUUCAUGGUCAAGAGUCAAUCCAAAAUAAAGGAAACAUUAUUAUAGAGUUUGGACUUUCAUCAUCUAAAGCAGCACCAUUCACUGCUCAGUGCUCAUAAUUAUGAGUCAUAUUCACACCACUGAAAGCCCAGUGUGACUCAGAAAAAGCACAAACUGCUGAAAGCAGGAUACUUCAUGUCCAAUAACUCAUGCUUUUAUGUGCAUAUCAAAAGAAAAUUAAUAAUAAUAAUGACUCAUGCUUUUAUGUAGUUGCCCUUUCUAUUAAAUAACAUUGCUUCCUAAAAUAAAUAAACAAAUAACAGCAACAAACCUUUUUUUCUUGGGAAAGGACAUCAAUGCUUGACCAAUUGCAUUUAUUUAUUAAGUGUAGUUAUAUGCAUGUUGUUACACCAUUUCAUAAUUUUCUCCUUAUUACAAUGACUUGGAUCUCAAAAGAUGUAAUCAAAAGAGAUCAUGGAAGAAUGCAGCAGAUGCCAUUUGCUCAGUACAAAGUAUAAACAUAGGGUGAUAAUAUGAAUAUAUUUAUAAUAAUAUGAGUUUAAUAUUUCUUGUCCAUACUAGCAUAACUUCACUAUUUGCCCAUAUACUUUGCAAGUGAGACUUUAAAAAAGAUCACUCUAACAUAAAUUCAUGACUGCAAUCAGAAAUAAAAACUUGCCUUUCAAUUGAGUCUGCAACAUACUCCAAUGAAUCACUAAGAGAAGCCAGCAAAAUAAGUUUGUUAUCAUCACGAAUUAGAUUCUCCUGCAUGACAGAGAGGAGAACAAAGAACGCCAAUGGGUAAGCUUUACAUUUUCAUUAAAGAGCCUCAAUACAUUAAAAAACAAUUCAUCUAUAACUCAGCAUUCUCCUACUUAAAAAUGGAAAACAACAAUUAUGGAAAAAGGUCCUCCAUCAGAGAGGAAAAAAAAAACAAAAACAAAAAAACAAAACAAAAAAAGAAUAAAAACAAAAACAAAAUGAUGUCCUCCAAACAUAAUACCUGCUUUAUCGGCCGCAAACUCAACAGCAAAUCACAUAGUUCCAUUUCAACCUCAACAUCAACAUCAGAGGCAUUGCUUUCCAUAUUUGGUUGACCAAAUGGAUUUGGUAAACAUGCACUAGCUGGAUCACAUCGCAUCAAUUUCUCAAUAUCAUGCCUCCCAAUUAGCAUAUAACUCUGCUUCUCAAGAACUGCCUGAAAAAAAAAAAAAAAAAAAAAAGAAACCAAAAAAACGAAUGAAUUAUAAGGUAAUUGGAAGUAUGCAAGAAUUUAUUGUUGAUGUAUGUCAUACACCUAUUAGGAACCAUAUCUUCAAAUUGCAUUACAGUGAUCCCAAUGAUAAAUCAUCAACCUACUUUAGUUUUCUACAAGGUCUAACCAGACACUCCAAUACUAUACUGUUGCAUUAUGAAGCAUGUCCCAUUGUAGUACUUUGCUUUUCCUAUAAUUAGUUACUUCCUGAGGCUGGAUGGUUGGAAAAAGGCUUUUUUGUCUUUGGGAGGGAGGAUUACUUUAAUUCAGUCGAGUCUGUCUCACAUCCCUAGCUACUUCCUCUCCCUCUUCAAAAUCCCAGUAUCAAUAGCCUCAAAGAUUUUUUUUUUUUGAUAAAUAAGCAAGCAAUAGAUUAAGAAGCAGAAAAAAGCCACAAGGCAUACAGGGAGUAUACACAGUAGCCUAAACAAAAAAACAAACAACCUCACCAGCCCUUAAGUGGACGCUAGCCACUCCAAAAAACCUAAGAGAGACAAGGACUCCUCACCAAUGUACACCCGAGCCCAACUCCACAGAUUACAAACAAAAGAAUUUUUGAGCUUCUAAAUAGCUAAAGACCCCCCCCCCCUAAAAGCUAACCUAUUCCUUUCCUUCCAAACCGUCCAAAAAAUACACAACGAGAUGAAAUUCCAAAUCUUUUUCCUUUUUUCCCCACAAAAGGACCCUUCCAAUUGAACAACACCUCUUUAACUGUCUCUGGGAACACCCACAAAACCCCAAACAAGGCGAGUAUGAUCUCCCAGAGGACCCUGACCACUGUACAGUGUAAAAGAAUAUGAUUUACAGUUUUUUCUUCACAACCACACAAAAAACAACGAUUAGGGAGCUGUCAUCCCCGUUUUUUAAGCCUAUCCAAGGUGAGAAUCUUCCCCCAAGUGGUCUCCCAAGCAAAAAAAGCAACUUUGGUUGGAGCCUUAUCCACCCAAAUGUUCUUCUUCGAGAAAGCGAAGUCAUUGGGAGAGACUAGCAGAAUAUAAGCGUCCUUAACCCCAAAAAUACCACUUUCCCCACCUUUCCAAAAAACUAAAUCCUCUUCUGAAGAUACCCUGCAAUCCCUCAACAAAAUCAGCAACUCCCUUAUCAAUCCAACUCUCAAUCAUUAAAGUCUCUAGAAAAUUUGAGGUUUCAACCUCCUUGACCAUAACUAGAGUGCCACACCUCAUUAACCGUUGCAUUCCUUUGAGCCGCCAAAGUAAAUAACUGGGGGAAGAUUUGGGACAGCGCUGCAUUGUCACACCAAUGAUCAGUCCAGAACUUAAUUUUCGUCCCUUUGCCCACUUUAAAUUGGAAAUUAUCCCAGCACCAGCAAGCCUCCUUCAGAAUCUCCUUCCAAACCCCCACUCCAUACGUCCCAAGAACCUCAUUAGUCCACCAUCCAAAACCCUCAUGGCCAUACUUCACCAACAACACCUUCUUCCAAAGAUUAUCCUUUUCAAUGGCAAAUCUCCAAACCCAUUUUCCCAGCAAGGCCUUGUUCAGAAGGAUAAUCUUCCUUAAGCCUAGACCACCCUUCUCCUUUUGAGCGCACACCACCUCCCAAUUGAUUAAGUGGACUUUCCUUUCCAAGCUUCCCCCUCCCCAAAGAAAGCCUUUUUGUAAUUUUUCCAGCCUUUUUGCUACAAUCUUGGGCAUUCGAAAAAGGGACAAUUGGUAAAUCAGCAUGCUGGCCAGCGUGCUCUUAAUAAGGAUGAUUCUCCCGCCUUUGGAAAUAUAUUGUCUUUUCCACAAGGCUAAUCUUCUCCUCAUUCUCUCUUCCACCCCAUCCCACAUNNNNNNNNNNNNNNNNNNNNNNNNNNNNNNNNNNNNNNNNNNNNNNNNNNNNNNNNNNNNNNNNNNNNNNNNNNNNNNNNNNNNNNNNNNNNNNNNNNNNNNNNNNNNNNNNNNNNNNNNNNNNNNNNNNNNNNNNNNNNNNNUGGACGGGAAAUGUCGAAUCAUUAAAAAAAUUGAGUCUUCCUCCCCCCCAAAGCUUACAGCCUGAAAUGAACCCCCCAUCUGCAGGCCUUCUUAAAAGUGCACUUAGCACUUCCAUUCCCAACACAAAAAGGUAAGGAGAAAGAAGGUCUCCUUGACGCAGCUCCUUGGUGUUUGAAAAGAAGCUUGCAGGCAUCCCAUUGACCAGAACAGAGAACUUGGCAGUUGAGAUGCAUCGCCAAAUCCACUCCAUCCACCGAAACCCAAAGCCCAUCUUAUGCAAAACCUUCAUUAGAAAACUCCAAUUUAUGCUGUCAUAGCCUUUUUCAAUGUUCAAUUUACAAAUUAGCCCUUUCUCUUUUCAUUUUUGCCAAAAGUCAACCACCUCAUUAGCUAUAAGCGAGACAUCAAAAAUCUGUCUACCCUUCACAAACGCGUUUUGAUCCUCGGAAACCACCUUUCCUAAAACCUUAUUCAGCCUAUUGGCCAGCACCUUAGCCAACAACUUGUACAGACCCCCUAGAAUGCUAAUGGGCAGGAAAUCCCCCAAGUCCUUAGCACCCCCUUUCUUUGGAAUAAGAACCAGGAAAGUAGUGUUCAAGCUUUUGGCAAGGAUCUUUGAUCACAAAACUCCUUGAACAACUCCAAGAUUUCCUCCUUCACAAAAUCCCAACACGCUUGCCAAAAGGCCACUGUGAAACCAUCCGGGCCAGGAGCUUUGUCACCAUUCAGCUCCAACAAGGCAGAAUGGAUUUCUUCCUCAGAGAAGGGCACUUCCAAAUUUUCAGCUUCUUGGAAAUUCAGACGAUGGAGAUGCAGCCCCUCUAUGUCCACUCUCCAGCCUUGCUCUUCCAAGAGCAACUGUUGAAAAGCAUUAACAACCUCCUCCCUCACCUCCUGUUCCUCAGUCAACCACACCCAGUUAAUCUUAAUUCUAUCCAAGGAAUUAUUUCUCCGGUGGGCGUUUGUCAUCCUGUGAAAGAAGCAUGUGUUCUUAUCCCCUUCCUUUAACCACAGCUCCCUAGAUAAUUGUCUCCAAUGGGUUUCUUCUAGCAGGACCCACUUUUUAUAGGUUUCCUUAGCUUCUUUUUUCAGCUCAGUUUCCCCUUCUGAGAGGCUCCUCUCGCUUUCCACCCCAUCCCAUAAUUCAGCUUGUUGAAGAGCUGAAUUUCUAUUGACUUCCAACCUUCCAAACACGUCCCUAUUCCAGACUUUGAUUCUUUGCUUCAACUCCUUCAACUUAGUAGCCAGCCUGAAGCUAGCAUUUCCUCUCACCACAGUCCCCUGCCACCAACCCCGAAUGAGGUCCUUAAAGCCAUCCACUUUAAGCCACAUAUUUUCAAACCUAAAUUCUCAACCCACCGCCCUCCAACAGAAUGGGAAAGUGGUCUAAAGUGGGUCUAGGCAGCCUGCUCUAGACAAUCCUACUGAAUUGAUCAAGCCAGUUCUAAGUCACUAAGAAUCUAUCCAGUCUUGCCCACAAUUGAUUAUUCCUACCCCCAUUCCAAGUAACCAAACCCCCUUGCAUAGGAAGGUCAAGAAGCUCUAACUCGUCAACAAUCUGAGCAAACCUUCUCAUUGCACCAGUUAGCCUUCCCUGCCUACUCCUUUUCCUUUGGGAGAGGAUGACGUUGAAGUCACCCCCUAAACACCAAGGAUCAUUCCACAAGCCUCUAAUCGCCCCUAACUCCUCCCACAACCAACCCCUUUCCUCUCUAGAGAAAGGCCUGUACACUCUUGUGAACAUCCAAACGAACCCGUCCUCCACAUUCCUGAAUCUACAGGAAAUUGAAAAUUGACCCACCUCCAUCUCGAGCACAUUCAGUGUCAUUUUAUCCCAACAGAUCAAAAUCCCCCCCGCAACUCUAGAAGGAUCCAGGGCACCCCAAUCUAGGAAUCUUCCAAUGCCCAAGCUUCUCACCACACCCUCCGACAUUGCCUGAAUUUUUGUCUCUUGGAGGCAUAACAAGUCCACCCUCUGACUUCUAAUCAGGGCUUUAACCACCUUCCUUUUGGAGCUGUCAUUAACUCCACAAACAUUCCAACUCAGAAGCCUUAACUUCAUUGGACUUCCAUGAUUUGGCACCCUCUUCUUUGCAAACCAAAUUUUUGUUUUUUCCCUUUUUCGUAAUUAAUGGAGCAUUCCAGUCUUUUUAAUUCCCUUUCGAAUUUAGAUUUCUCCAAUAGAGUUUUGUUGUGAAUACUUUCCCUUCUUUUUCUAAUUUUAACCAAAAAAUCCAAGAUAUCCUUCUCCAAACCCUCUGUCGAAAAUCCCAAGAACUUGCUGAACCUUGCCAGAUCACUUUCCUCCCAACUGAUCUCCUCCCAACCUCUCGCUUCUUGAGGCUUAGUUGGAAUUGAGCUCCACUCCACUCUUCUUUCCUCAUUGCAUCCGUUAUUGACCUCCAUCAACUCCCAACGAGUGACGGUCUGGUCCUCUAUAAGCCCCAGGGCAUUGAUCAUGCGUAACGGUAUUUCCCCUUGGAUUGUCUCACAAACAACCCCUGAAUAGUUGUAAUACUCCCCCUUUGGAGUCCGACCGGAAAAAAAAAAAAAAAAAAAAAAAAAAAGGAAGAAGAGAGCCCAGAAUCCAAAUUUCCUUUAGGGUAAGAGACAAUCCCAUACCUCAAGGCUUCCUCAAGCAAAGCAUGGUCAGUCAACGAUCUCACCUUGGAAUGGAGUUCAGCUUCAAUUUGUUUUCGCAAGCCAUCCUUCACCCAGAAAUUAGUGGAUUCUGAGUCUAGACACCCCAAAGAGCUUGGGCCAGACAUAACCGAGGAAGAUCCCACCACCUUGGGCUCUGAACUCAAACGGGGUUUGGGACGGGCCUCUAAACUUCGGCCCAGACUCCUCAACCAAAGGUUGAGACACCGGCCCAACCUGCCCAGCCUCCAUCGAAGUAGUCAAAGUUGGGACUGACCCAACGGCCCCAAAAGUUGGAGUGAACGAUUCCUCUACUGGGCCCAGCUUAGACAGCCCACCCAGCAACUGCAAACCUCCAAGAAACCGGCCCGAUGACCCAUCAAGGCUCCGAGAAGGAUUCGAAGGACGCCCCGACCCGCUCAUCUGCCCCCGCAUCCCGUCGGCAGUCUGAACCAAAGCCUUGAGCCUAGAGCCUUCAUCCACCUCCACCACGCGCUUACCCACGAGUACAGAACCCUCACCCCCAACCUCUUCUCCUGCUCCGACUUCCNNNNNNNNNNNNNNNNNNNNNNNNNNNNNNNNNNNNNNNNNNNNNNNNNNNNNNNNNNNNNNNNNNNNNNNNNNNNNNNNNNNNNNNNNNNNNNNNNNNNAUUAAUGGCCUAACCUCCCACCACAAAGUUAAUCAGUAACAAACCUCUUCCACACAGAUCUCCACCACAUUAGGAAGCUCCUCGCCGUUUACCUUCACCAAAAUCCUAGCCCACUGCAAUUCUUCCAACUUCUUCGUUUGGGUGUCGACUGCCAAAAAACCCUCACAUUCCUCCCCUACUCUCCUUAGAAUGGCUCUAUCCCAUAAUGAAACGGGUAAUCCCACAAUUCUCACCCAGACCUUGCGUCUUUUCUCUCCUUCCACCAAACACCCCGUCUCGAGACUUCCAUCUCUCCACGCACAGGAGAAGCCCCCUACCGAGAUUCUUCCAUGGCUAAGAGCUUUCUUAGCUUCUACCACCAACUCAAACUCCAACAAAACCUUACCCCUUUCCAAUUUUGCCCUCCCUAGUUUGCCCUUCAACCCCCAAGUUUUUGACAUUUAGCUCUCCCAGCUUUUCAAAUCCUCACCUUUCUCUGAGCUAGGGUUCCAAAACCUAACGAGGCAAUGGCCCAGCUUGUUCAAAUUUCUGCUCAGCUCCUCUUUUCUAACCUCCACCCUCACCACUGUUCUACCCUUAUUCCUCGGCAUCUGGACCACUUCCGCAAAAGAUUUUACCAACUAGGGUUUCAGCAACGUUGCCUCGACCUGCAAGCUUUCCUUCCUUUCGUAGACUACCCCGAAGCUUCGCAACGUCUCCGCCAUUGAAGACCAGCCAUCAUUUACCCCUCUGCCUUUGGGGAUAAAGAUGCUAAAGCUUUUUUUCUUCGGAUCUACGACGCCCAACCGGAGAAAACACCCCCCCCCCCCCCCUUGUUCUCAUCACGCACCAGCGAAUAGGACCUCCCGUUUUCCUUCCAACUUCUUUCCCAUUUUCCGGCACUCAUGUCUUCUAUGCAAAACCGCAGGCCGUCCAAAAAGAACCCUAGGCUCUCCGGUCCUAGAUUGACCCAUGAGGAGAUCCCUCUUUUCCUUUCCACAAUAAUGGCUUGCAAUCUACCUUUCUUCUCCUCUACUUCAACUUCGAACGACUUCGACUCUACUCUAAAGCUACUCCCUUUCACUAGUUUCCAUGACCCCAAUCGGAAAUCUUUCUCUUCAUACUCACUCGCACGCAGCCACUCUCCCUCUCCUCCCACGCUCUCACUCUCUCUCUCUCCUACUCUCUUUCUUUCUCUCUCCUCCAUCUUGCGUCCUACUUCUCAGUCCUAUUAGCUUUGAAAGGGUCAAUAGCCUCAAAGAUUGAGAAGCUGCAAAGGGAUUUUCUUUGGUCUGGGGCAGGGGAAGGGAAGAAAGAUCAUCUUAUCAGAUGAGAUGUUGUUAGUAGACCAAAAGAGUUGGGAAGUUUGGGUUUUGGGAAGACUUCUUUGAGAAAUAUUGCUCUUUUAGGGAAAUGGCUUUGGAGGUUCUUUAGAGAAAGAAGUGGUCUUUGGCAUAAGGUUAUUGCGAGUAUUUAUGGGAUACAUCCUAAUGGAUGGGAUGCCAACAUGGUGGUUAGAUGGUCACACAUAUGUCCUUGGAAGGCUAUUGCUCAAGUUUUACAGGAUUUUUCCCCUUUUGUCCGCCUAGUGGUGGGGAAUGGGGAGAGAAUUCGUUUUUGGGAAGAUCUUUGGUGGGGUAACCAAACUUUGUGCUCUCAAUUUGCUGUUCUUUAUAGAGUUAUUUCUGUGAAAAACCUCACUGUCUCAAAUGUCCUUGGCAAUUCCUUUCCACUGUCUUGGAAUUUUAAUUUUCAUCGCAAUCUUACUGAUUCAGAAAUUGAUCUCCUUCAGAGAUUAAUGUCCUCCCUUAGUUCAAUGUUUUUCUCUCUUUCUUUGGCAGAUUCAAGAGCGUGGUCUUUGUUAUCAUCAGGCUUGUUUUCAGUGAAAUCUUUUUUCUUGGCCUUGUCAAAAGUCUCAAAUCCUAUCUUGUUCUUCCGGCCAAAUUCUUGUGGAGCUCAAAAGCCCCCUCAAAGGUUAAGGCCCUCGCUUUGUUAGUAGUACAUGGGAAGGUAAACACCAAUGACAAGUUGCAAUUGAGAAGACCCUAAAAAUCCCUCUGUCCUCAAUGGUGCAUUCUUUGCAAAGGAAAUGGAGAAUCGAUCGACCACCUUUUCUUCAUUGUCCUGUUAGCAUUAGACUCUGGCACAAGUUGUUCAAUCUAGCAAGGUUGGCUUGGGUCCCUCCAAGGAGUAUUGAGGACAUGUUGGUUAUUGCUUUUAAAGGCUUGGGAAAUUCAUUAAGAGGCAAGACACUUUGGCAAAUCGCUUGCCUUACUUUGUUAUGGAUGGUGUGGCAAGAGAGAAACAAUAGGAUUUUUGAGGAUAAAGGGAGAACGGAAGAGAUGUUAUGGGACUUAAUUCUGUUAUUUUCCUCUCUUUGGGCCUCUUGUACUGCAAUUUUUAGAGGAGUUCCUCUAAGUGUUUUACAACUUCACUGGGCUGCGGUUUUCGCUUCAAAAGUUUGAGAGUGUUGGGGUUUCUCUUUGUUUUUAGUUUUCUAAAGUUGGGUGGUUUCUACUUUGUUUAGUUUUUGUUUUUGUGGGAAGGACCUCUCAUCCUUCUCUUGUUUUCUUCUCUUUCUCUUGUAUCUCUUCUUUCUCUUGUUUCUUUUCUUCUAUUAAUAUAAUUUUCUUCGUUUCUAAUCAAAAAAUAAUUAGUUACUUCCUCAAAACUGUCUACACCUUGUUUAUUGUUUCCAUUUAGACACACAUUUAUAGGUUAUUUAGUUGCUAAUCUAUCCUCCCAAACAAACCCCCUCUCCCCUCCUUUCUCCCCUAUAGUGGAGGGGGUGUACAACCUAAUGGGGCAUUUCACUUGAAAAGGUCAGGACAUAGUGAUUUUUUUUCCAUUUGUUCAUUGAGUUAGUGAAAAUUUGAAAAAAUAUUAUCAAGAUCCUAUCCACUCUUUGGGCUAACCUGAAUCACAUAUAAUCUCAUUCCAUUAGGGCUCUAUAGAAAUUAAUUUUUUUAUGCAUUGAGAAUAUAUAAGUUCUAAACUUCCAAUUGAGAGGAAUAAACCGAGAGACAUGCUAAUAGCAAGUAUUUCAAGCUUCCUCUCCAUAUAACCUUAAUUUUUAUUUUUAUUUUGUAUUCCAACUAUGAUAAUACUUAUUCUCUUUGUUUGGAUCUAGUUUCUAGAUCUCUCUUUCUUUUGGUCAGAUUACAUGUCAUCUAUAACUAGAAGAUCUGUUCAAAAUUAAAGUUUGACCCUUGAUCUGAAUUUGACUAUUUUGUCAAACUUUGGAAAUUUCAAUGGCCCAUUGAGCACAAGAUGAAGGAACCAUUUUAGGAAACUUGAACAGCCAGCCAAACAUCAAUCUAGAGCAGCUUGAGCCAUGAUUAUGUCCGUUCUAUCACAGCCUUUUUGAAUUUUCUCUGGAUUUGGAUAUUCUUCUUUUCUUUCUUUUAUUCUUUAGCUCACAUUCCACAAUCAAGCAUGAAAAUUUCCAUACUAGACAAGCCGAUUUCAUGUAUCCUAACUUAUUAUAGAUAUGGCCAACAAUAGAGGCAUUAACCAGCUAAAAGAAUCUUAACUUCUGCGCAAAUCGAGCUUUCAAUAAUAAACAACCUUAUGAGAACAAAAACAUACCAAGACCAAGAAUCAUGGCAUACAACUGUCAAACUUAUGCUUUAAAUAAAGAAACUCUAGGAGAGGGUUCCAAAAAUUCUUAACCUAUGGAUGACUCAUUAUAUAGAGAAGAAAAUACCUCCACU